UCAAAUCUACUCGAUUCCUUUUAGUAGCAUUUUUUUUUUGUAUAUUUUUUAUUUUUCUCUAGCUAUGGUUUAUCUAGCUAUGAAAUUUUUUUGUAUUAUUAUUUGGUUUGCUAGGGUUUUGCACAACACACUAUUAGUUUAAAUAUGGAAGGGCAAUAAAGUUUAGUAAAGUUUAAUAUAGAUAAAUUAUUUAAUGGACAUGUUAUUGUUUAAAAAGACAAAGUAAAUACAUGAAUUAGUAAAAUUUGUUUAGUUAUAACAGGUUGUAUUAGCUAGGUAACUACAAGGUAGUUUUUGUUUUUAAAGAAACAAACAGCAAUCUUGUUGAGUGAGUAUUUUGUUAGUCUUAUAGUUUAGUUAAAAAUUGAAUGCCAUCACAAAAAGAUAGAAGUGUAAUAGAGGUCAUAAAAUCAUAAGUAAAUAAAUAAAGGGUAUGUAAUUCUUCACAUGAGAAAAAGAUUAAUGGUAUUUUAGUCAAAUCAAGUGUUUCAACAGAGUUCAUACUUAUAUAUACAAUUAUUGAUUUAUGGUUCCUAAUAUAAGAAAUACGAUCAUAUAAAUUGUUCCUUGAGUAUUCUUUACGAUGUCUUGUUUUUUCACAAUUUUUUCUCAUUGCUAAUUUUUUGUGUGCGUCAGGUUUUCUUUACUCCUGAAGGAAAGGGGUGGGGUCUCAGAACUCUAGAAUUGCUACCAAAAGGUACAUUUGUAUGUGAGUAUGUAGGGGAGAUCCUAACCAACAAGGAGUUCUACGAGAGGAAGAUGCAAAGGGCAACUAGCAACAAAACUGAAAAGCAUGCCUAUCCAGCUGUACUUGAUGCAGAUUGGUGCUUGAAAGGAGUUGUAAAUGAUGAAGAAGCUCUGUGCUUGGAUGCGACAUUUUAUGGAAAUGUUGCUAGGUUUAUCAACCACAGGUAAGACUGUAUAUCUGAUGCAUAUUGCUUUGAGCAGUUGAUCUCCCAUAGACUUUUUUUCUUUCUUUUCUUUUUGAACUUUUCAGUUGGUUUUCCUUAUUUCACAUGCACCGGAAAAAUUCUUAAUUUCUAUCAGAAAAAGAAAAGAGAAAAAUGAUGAUAUGAAGUUUCAGCCCUACAUAAGUAAUCUUCCCUGUGCUGGUGAUCAGAGAGUUGAUGCAUUCUGAUAAAUGUUCUUUUGUUUUUGUUAGAUGUCUCGAUGCUAACAUGAUCGAGAUCCCGGUGAAGAUUGAGACCCCUGAUCAUCAUUAUUAUCAUGUAUGGAUGCUUCAUUUGGAUUCUUAUUACCAUGUAUAUAUUGAACAUACAAUUAUAUUCUCAAUGACAGUACUUCUCUCAUAGGAUUAAUUUUCAUGCAGCUUGCUUUCUUCACGACUAGAGAAGUGAAUGCUUCGGAAGAGUUAACCUGGGUGAGCAAUGUCACUCGAGUUUAUGAAUUUUUUCCAUGUUUUUGCUUAGUUAUGUAAGCAUCGUUGCUCUGAUGCUUUCCAAUGAGGAGGCAUGGUUGACAUUACACUGUUUUACGGUAAGUUAUAUUGUGUUGCAACAUUGUAGUCGUUGUUUGUGAGAAAUAAUAUCAGUUCCUUUACUGCUGCUGAAAUUACAAAGAUGGUAUGUCUAAAUGUUUGUUUUCUUUAGUGAUCGAGAGCUUUAUUUAUUGUAGCUAUGACAUUUGCAAUUGGAAAUUCUAUAUACUACUUGUUUUUGUUAUACUUAGUUAGCAGUUCACAUCAUGCCGUGUUCCAUGCUCUUCAAUUUUAAAUUUUUUAUCAUGUGCAAUCUUUCUAUGGUUUUAAAAAUUGGUGUCUGACAUGUCUGCAGGAUUAUGGCAUUGAUUUUGAUGAUACUGAUCAACCUGUGGAGUUAUUCCAUUGCCGAUGUGGCAGCAAGUUCUGCAGGAACAUGAAACGUUCAAGUAGUAAGCUUAUUCUAAAUCUUUUUGAGGCAUGAGUUGAGCAAUGUGAACUAUUUUGACCUCUUUACUUUUUAGUGAUAUUGAGAUGCAAUCUCCGAGCAUGUGCCCUUUUGACGUCUCCAAGCUUUCCUUGGAAGCUGUAUUGUUCGUUAUGUUUAUGAUAAAAAACCUAUGGUUUUCAGGUCUCAAGGAUAGCCUAUUAUGGUUUUCAGGUCUCAAGGAUAGCCUAUUAUGGUUUUCAGGUCUCAAGGAUAGCCUAGUAAUAGGCGCUGGUGUUUGGUCAUAUGUCUUUGAGUUGGCAAUUAAUUUUAGUUUAGAUAGUGAUGCAGGUUUUUUCAAACCAUUCACUGAUCACAUAUGGUGUUCGCAUUUGAGAUUUCUUAGGGAUAUAUUUAGCUGAUAUUUUCCAGGAUGGAAUAGCACUUCUAUUAGAAUUUUAUUUUUUCCUUCAAUUUUACUUUUGUAUCUCUUCUUCCUUCUUAAUCAAAAUUCGUUUUGUUCUCCAACCAGAAUAUUUUUAAAGUGGCUUCUGCUCCUCUUGCUUUCCCAUAUAUGCUGUUGUCAGUUAAUGAACACGUGGAUUGAAGUUAUCAAAAGAAAUUAUUAUUGUUAAGAACUCUGAUGUCCCAUACAUCCUCAACAUUAUAUUUCAGAGAGGUGUGUGUCGGUGAUGUCCACAUAUCUUGGCAGCCCGAUAAUAUACAUCCUAGAUUUUCUAGUUUCAAAUAAUUUCUUUUGCAUGGCUUAUUUGCCCUAUUUCCUGUAAUAUUCUCCUAUCAAGACUCAGGUUUGGGGAGCACAGAGUGCUGAUAUUUGGAUGACUUUUUUCUUGUGAUCCUGUUGCUUCCCGCCUUCUGUUCUUUUGGUAUUCCUUUUCCUUCUAAUGAUAUCACCUUUUGCACUGGGGCAGGAUCUAAUUCAGCAGCAAGAUGAUUGGGAGCGCGGAUGACGAGACUGCUGAUAUUUUGUUAGAAUCCCAUCCAUGACAAGGGAAGAAAGCUUUCAAGUGGACUUGCUUAAUUUUUCUUGGUCCUACUGUAAUCUUGUCAAAGUCAUGUAAUUAUUUUGUUAAGUGAAGUGGUUUAUCAGCAGCGGCCUUAUAAAUCUGGUUUUGGUUGCACAGAUUGCAUGAUCUACCGUCUCUACCGUGGAUUAUGCAUCUAAAUCCUGGACAUUUUGCUGCAUUUUGGAGGAAGGGGGCCCUAUGUCAGGUGUUUCCUGUGGAUCUUUUUUUAGUUUUGCUGAAGUGUUUCUGUGGUGCAGGGGCAACAAAAACUGGGUCAUGUAUGUUGGUUGGUGUCUAUUCCUAUUAUUGUACAGGUUUAUGGCUGUCUUUGUAAUCUGCUUUAUCUGCUUUUGACUGCUUCCCGUCGAUGUUGGGCAGCACGGUUUGGCCACCGGCUGCUAUUUGGGUGGGCAGAAGAUGCCAUUCAGCGCAGCAUGGCUUGUUUUUGCACAAGCUGCUGCUAUUUGGCCUUGGCAUCUACUCUGCUAUUUGGAGUGAAUUAUAUUUUAGUUCCUUAGUUUAUCAAAACAUUUUAAUUAAUCCUAAUAAUUUUAGAAGCUACUAGAUUAGGCACGCUCGCUCAGCGCAGCGGGUCGGAUUAGACUUUUUUCAACCUGAAAUAAAAAGUUCAGUGGAAUUAGAAAAAAAAUUAAUUUUUAAAAAAAACAUAAAAAAAAUCUAGCCAACCUGGUUAAAUAUUUUGAACUUGUGACCUGAAAAGUUAAUAAAAUUCUAAUUAAUAAAAUAUAAAGAGAUGAAAUUGAAAAGACAAGUUUGAAUAAAAAUGAUUAAAAACAAAAAAAUGUAAAUAAAAAAAGUAAAGACCAUGAACUAAAAUAUUAGAGGGAUACAAUUGAAAAACAAAUAAAUUAAAAGGGUAAUGUUAAAUAUAGAGGGAUGUAAUUGAAAAAGAAAAUUUAAUUUUAUUAACAGAAUAUUUUAAAAAAUAACAAUAAAAAGUUGAGAAUUAAAAAAGUGAAAAAAAAUCGAAGGAGAGUUAAAUUAAAAGAAAACUAAAUCUAAAAGAAAAAUCAUUCAAAGGGUUGCUUCGAAAAUAGCUCCUGGAACUGAAUUAAAAAACUAUAAAUAUUAUACAAGUUUAAUUAAAUUUAACAAUAUUAAAAUUUAUUAAUUAUUUAUCAGGUAAUAAUUUUGAAUACCCAUUCCUAGCCUAAAAUAUUAACCAUUAAAUUAAAUUAAAUCAAAUAAAAUACUAUUCCAGUAAAUUACAUAUAUACCGGUUGUUUUAUUGUGUUUUUGCUGUUGCUAGAGGAUUUAGUUUAUUUAUUUAUAAUUUUUAUGUAAUUAUCAUCCUUUAAGCAAUUAUUUAUUAGUUUUGAUACUAUCAGGAUUAGUUUCUUUAUUUUUAUAAACUACAAUUACUAAAUUGUAACUAACUCCUUUUAUUGGUUGGAUCAAAACGGCGUCGGUUGCAAAUAUUGCAAAACCCUAGGAGGCCUAGAAACUCAGUGAUAUAUAAUAGAUAGAGCGUUGCAAUUUAUUGCUGAAGGGGGAAAGGCGGGUGCGCAGACGGAAGCGAAGAAGGCGAUAAAAAAUGUCGAAGCGAGGUAAAGCCACUGACCCUACCUUCUCCGAGUAAUGUAACGACACGUCAAUCACACCAAACGCUCUAACCUAUUUCUCUUCUGUUUUCAGGAAGGGGAGGAUCGGCCGGAAACAAGUUCCGCAUGUCGCUGGGUCUUCCGGUGGCGGCGACGGUGAACUGCGCUGACAACACUGGAGCGAAGAAUCUCUAUAUCAUAUCAGUGAAAGGAAUCAAAGGUCGCCUCAACCGUUUGCCGUCGGCUUGCGUCGGAGACAUGGUGAUGGCUACAGUGAAGAAAGGAAAACCUGAUCUCAGGAAGAAGGUGAUGCCUGCUGUCAUUGUUAGGCAGAGAAAGCCUUGGCGCAGAAAGGACGGUGUUUUCAUGUAUUUUGAAGGUUUGUUUAGUAAUUUUCCUUUCAAUUUUGAUUUUCAGAUUUUAAAACCAUAUAUAUAUAAAUUUAUUUGUUGCGUUUGCAGAUAAUGCUGGUGUUAUUGUCAAUCCCAAGGGAGAAAUGAAAGGUGAAAUUAUUUCUUAAACUUCAUCUGUGUUAAGUUUGGUGCGUUUUAGCUUGUAAUUGGGUUACAAAUCUCCAUUUAUUGUAGCUGAUGAGUGAUCUUGCUGUGGUGAAACUUGUUGUGGUUUGCUUGAGAUAUAAUUAAGUAGCUUGUGGUUUUGAGAUCUUCUAUGAAUGUAAUGGGUUGCGUUUUCCCUGAAUUUUGAUUUUCGGGAAAGGCUAAGGUUCUCUCAUAUUUAGCCCUUGAUGAGUUUGAAAAUCCCACUACUCGGUGAUGUUGACUUCCCAUUUGUUAUGAUUCCCAUCUGAUGGCUUGGAAGCACGUGCUCAUGUAAGCUCGAGUUUAUAGCAGUCUAACCCAUAUUUUUUAGGCCCCAAUUAUGAAAGCAUUUGGAUGAUUAUGGUCCCUUCACCCAUUUAUUGAACACAACUCUCUGGGGACAAGGACUUUUUUUGCAGUUUUUUGAUCAUUAAUGGUUACCUUAGAUUUGAAUUGUUUUUUGCUCUCUGUUAACAAGGGAGGGUGGUAUAUGAUUGUUGAUUAGCAUAAGGCAUUUUAGAUGUGGUUUUGGAGUUUUUGUAGGUUUGUUUGUUUAGUUUCCAAGAAUUAAUAUGUUGUCAAAUGUCGUAUAAUGAUGGUUUUAUGUUCGAAGAGCGAAUUAUUACCAAUCUCAAUAUUUUUUUGGAACGUGUUGUUUGCUUGGGCCUGGCUGUUGUUUAUGAUACCCUCAUGAGAAUCAUAAGCGGGGAUCGGGGUUCAUCUAGUUUUUGCCGUAAUAUUUCUGCAAUGGUUCAUGUUGCUGAUUGUUGUUGUUUUGCUGCUUGUAGGAUCCGCCAUCACUGGACCCAUCGGCAAGGAAUGUGCUGAUUUGUGGCCAAGAAUUGCCAGUGCUGCCAAUGCCAUCGUCUGAAUGGAGAUUGGUUUUUGAUAGUUCGUGGCUUCAGAACUUGAUGCUGUCUUCAGAAUGUUAUUACCUUUAUGUUCAGACAGAAUUAAAUGGAAUGGAGGACCUUCAUGAGCCCUGUCUAUGUUUUUGAUAAAUUGCAGAUGUUUAAGUUUUGAGCCCUGUCUAUUUCUCCUCUCAAUUCUCUUUUGUCCCAUCAAGAUCGUUAGAGAGAUGAACAAAUGGAUGACAAGGAGGGAGUGAGAAUCGUUCUUGUUUUAGGAUUGCAUUACAUUCAUGUCAUGGGUGAUGCUGUCAUCACUGUUGCAGUACGUCUGAUAUUGGACUCCCAAAUUUUUUCUCUCUCAAAUUGCAUUUAACAUUUAACUUGUUUGAAUGUUUUUUUAUUUAGAAAUAUAUUAAAAUAAUAUAUUUUUUAUUUUUUAAAAAUUAUUUUUAUAUCAAUGUAUUAAAAUGAUUUAAAAAUACUAAAAAAAUAUUAAUUUAAAAUAAAAAAAUUUAAUAUUUUUUAAAAUGUUUUUAAAACAUAAAAGCAAAUAAGGCAUGUAUAUAAUUUACGAUUUUCGAAGCACCUUUUCUGCAUGAAAUGCACGCCCGUGAGAGUGUGCCACUGGAUGAGUUCAUUGUGUUAAUAUUAAAAUAAAAUAAAAUAUAACAAGUAAAAAUCACAAAAACAUACUCUAAAAAGUAAAGAGGAUGAUCGUAUUUUAUUUUUUUAAAAUUGAGAAUAUAUUAAAAUAAUUUAUAUUUUUAUUUUUAAAAUGAGCUUAUAAAAAACAUAAAAAAAAUCAAUGUUAGACUUCUAACGGUGCCAUGUAAUGUCAACGAACUUGUUUAUUAUUAUAUUUUAAAAGCGUAUUUAAAGAAAAAUUAAAAUUGUUUUUAUUUUUUUAAAUUUUAAAACAUAUUUUUUUUUAUGUAAGCUUUCAAUGAAGGUUUGUAGUACUUCAUUGAAGUGUAGGAGCAUUUUUUAAAACAUUUUGAAAACAUCUGUUUGCAGUGAGGAAAGGACACCACUUGCGGGCCUUUCUACCUUUCACAUUUUUGGAUCUCGUGCUGUGCAUGGUGCCCAGUGGUGCUUCACAGGUAUGUAAUAGAAGGUAGCGAUUCCUGUUUAUAUUAUAACCAAAAUAUUUUUUUAAAAAUUAAUGUGUAUUAAAUGAUAUUUUUUAAAAUAUUAAAAUUAUGAUGUAUUAGAUGGAAAACUGAUACGUAUUUGGCUAAAUAAAUAAAAUUUCUUAUACACGGCGUGUAAAACUAUGAAUGGACAAUGGCCUUAAAGCUAGCUCUCAAAAAUGGACGAAGGUGAUUGUAUUGUGUCCCCCUCUCACUCUUUAGGUAUGGACGGUGUGGACUUUUAUGCUAGAGAAAACCUUAUCUCACUUUUUGGUCACAGAUUCUUCCCGGGAAGGUUCACCAACUAGGAGUAUAACCCAAGGAAACCCAGUAAUUAAGAAUAUUAAGUAGCUUGUUCUUUUGCAAGACAUCUAAUGUGAAAAGUGUCUCAUCAUCCCUGUUAACAUCACAUCACUACCUGCAAGUCUCAAUCGCUGCUCCAAGUUGGGAAUAAUCUGACCGAAGACUGCCGGUAAGGCAGUAUUGUAUGGUCUCCCGCUAAUGAGAGGGUGACACUGUGUGUAUCACUGAUAGUGAUGCCUGUUAGUGGGAAUCGAUGCUUUAAAGCUCAACUCCUGCUUUGCUCUCACUCGUCCUGCUUCAAGUGUUUCACUCCCUCUUGGUUGCUUGCUAGGUCGUCGUCUUCUUGUGUCCAGGUGCAGCUGGUACAGUACUGAUGGUGGAGGGAAGAAUGAAGAGAAUCCGGUUCUUGAGGUGGGGGAGCAGAAUCUCAAGCACUGGGUCUGCAGUCAAGCUUGUUAGUCUGAAAAGACAAGUGCCGUUUGGUCGACGUUGUGAAUCAUCUUUCUUAAUGCAGCUAGCUUCGAGGUUCAGGGCUCAAUGGAAGCAAGCUUUCGGGUGGAAAAGGAGCAGUGCACAGUGCAGCUAUGAUCCUUACAGCUACUCUUUGAACUUUGAUGAUGGUCUCUCGAUCCCAUGAGUACUCUUGACCAACUCUAAUAUCGGAAUGUUUCUGAAUAAAAUCCUCUCUCCCAGCAAUGUCUCACCGGACUCUUCGCUGCCGCUUCAGAAGCCGUCUUGUGCAUACAGAAAUAAGAUACUGGGGGUAUUAAUUUCUUCAUCAUUCCAAUAUCCUCCAGUUGCUGUACGUUAGUUAUUGCUUCUUCACUCAUGUUUCUUGCUUGUUGAAACCUGUCGUAAACAUUUUUGAGCUGAGCUCUCUGUCUUUUCAUCCCUCCCGGCAGCUUCAAACUAUCAUUUUCAUUUUCUGUAAAACUGUGUUUCCAAAUGCUAGUGCAAAUCAUGCUGCAUGCUCGCGUAAUUCUCUACGUACGUACGUACCUGGUAGUUCUAGACCCUAGCUAGCUAGGAGAAAAACCUUACGUGCCGGCAAUUUCUUACAAUCAAGCUUAAUUUCCCUGGAUUUGAAUGAUAUAAAUAUUGUAUCUUGAAUUUGUUUCCCGUUAGUCUAGUCUAUAAGAGAUCAACCGUGUUUCGAACUGCCACUGGGCAAGAACUUUUUUAUUUUUCAAGUGCUUUUUUAGAUAUCCAUGUGUUUAUGGUUAUGAUUAUUUGAAAAAAAAGAAGAAGAAAUGCUUUUAUUUUCUUUAUUUUUAGAUGUUUUUUAAUUGUUUUGAUGAGUAAGUUUUAAAAAUAAAAAUAUUAUAAAAAAUAAUUUUAAUAUAUUUUAAAAUAAAAAACAUUUUAAAAAACUAUUAGAUAUAAUACCAACAACUUCUCUCAAUUCGACCAAGAUAUCACGAGCAGCACUCCGAUCAUAAAACAAUCGAUAAAUUCAAGAUAUAUUUUUACAAGUAAAAUAAAACGCACUAACAAGUCUAUACUUUUUAUAUAAAAAAACAUCAAAUUAAUACUUUUUACCCACCCCAUAUCAUGAACAAACAAAUACUAGGACAUGGUAAAAAGUAUCUUAAAAAUUACAUGACUGGUGAAUUUCUUUUUCAAUCUCGCCUAGCUAGCACUGUGUGAUAUUCUUGUGAAAAAGGGCAGUGCUCAGUUAAUGGUAGGGCCAUGAUUAUGGCACCCCACUACUUAUUUCUUCUUCUUUCUGCCCAACCAAAAAAAAAAAAACAUAGAUCAUGCAACCCACCUCUACUUUAAUUCUCUUUUGAAAAUUAGGUGAUAGCUCAGCAACCAAACAGCAAUAAUCCUACCUUCUUUGACAGAGAAAGAGAGGAGGAGGUAGGUCCUCUGAUUUCCUCUUCAUCCCUCCCACUCGUUUUUGCUAUGAUUUCUGUGAGCUAGCUAGACUAUACUUUAUUCAUCGUAAAACAAUGAAUACGAAGAACAAUAAAUUAUAAGAAAAAAAAAAACAUAAAAAAUCAAUUCUUAAUUAAGAGCUGACUUGAUGGUUAAGGAGGUAAUUAAGUUCAAUUUCUUGAUUUCUCAAAUUUAGAUUUUGAGAUCAAUCAAUACUUGGAAGAAUUUAUUAAAUUUUUAUGAAUACAACAUAUAGAUAGACGGGAGAAAUAUUCCUUUAAAAUCAUCGAGAGAGAGGUCAUUUAUAGGAUAUUUGAGAGUGUCUUGGUGAUAGUUUUAAUUAAAAUGUUUUUGUUCGACGCAUUAAAAUAAUAUUUUUUAUUUUUUAAAAUAUUAUUUUUUAUUUUAGUAUAUUAAAAAAUAUUAAUUUUAAACAAAAAAAUAUUUAAAUUUUCAUAAAACAUUAUUCGAAAUGAAAUUAAAAAAAAAACUAUUUAAAAUGGAAUUAUUACUUCCUACAAGCUGGCUUGUAACUAAUCAUUCAAUUUCAGAUCCCUCUGCAUGAUAUGUAUAUACAUUUUUUUUUCUUGGCUCCCCUGGAAUAAUUUCAAAUCUUAGAGUAAAAUCCAGUAAAAUUUAAAUUUUGAAAUUUGUUAUUUUUUUCUAAUCUUAGGCGCUCAAGAAAACCCUCCUAGCUUUGUUUUUGUAUUUUAAAAAUAUAUUUUUUUUAAAAUUAAAUUUUAUUUAUUUAUUUUUAUUUCAAAAUAAUUUUUUAAAAUAUUUUCAGUAGAGUGAAAAAUAAAUUUUAAAAAAUUAAAAAUAUUAUUUCUUUAUAUAUUUUUUUUAAAUCGAUAAUUACUGUUGCUUUGUUGCCAUUGCUGUCGAGUCUUUUACUAACUUCAGAUUCUCUCCCACAGCACGCAGUUUAAUGCAGCCCAAAGCUGUAAUACCCUCGAAACCGAGUGAAAUAAUCUUAGGCACUGAAGAAAACAAACAAAAAGAAAAAAGCAAUUUCCAAAAUGAGUCCAAAAUGAGAGUGAUAAGACAGGAACAAUGAUGAUAGCAAUCCAUGGAGAAAGAGUAAACACAGCAAUGCUGUGAGGAAAGGGGAGAGAGAGAGAGAGAGAGAGUAAAGAAGAAGACAUUAUUCGAUGUUGAAACCAGGGAAAAGAGAAAUCCAUGUCUGGUGGCGUUAAUGGUGGUUAUAAUUAUGUGUCAUCGGCCAAAAUGAUUGAUGUUUUUGUUUUUAUGAAAUAAAUAUAAUGAUUUAGUUUUUUCUCUCCAUAAUAACAGUUAUCUUCGGAUCAACUCAUAUAUGAUUUUUUUUUUCUUAUUUUUUCCAAAUGAUCUUAAUACACACACACACACACAGGGUUUAGACAAGGUCACAUGAGAGUUGAGAUUAUGAGCUGUGAAACAUUAACAUAAAUAUUCCAUGUGAUUUUCAAAGCUAGAACAGGCCACCCAUACCCCACAGACAUGUGACGCGUUCCCCCCACCAGCUCUACAAAUUCAAUCACCCCUCCCCCCUCUCUCUGGGCAAGAAAUGGCAAGAAAUUUGGUGUUCAUACUAGCUCUGACAAGCCUCUACAUUGGCUUAGCAGCCGCAGACUGGAAUAUCUUGAACAAAAAAUCGAAAAAUAGGGAUGCCUCUAGCUUGAAGAAUUAUUGUGAGAGUUGGAGGAUCAAUGUUGAGCUAAACAACAUCAAGGAUUUUGAGGUGGUGCCACAAGAAUGUGUAGAUCACGUCAAACAUUACAUGACCUCGUCUCAGUACACAGCAGACUCCGAGAGGGCGAUCGAGGAAGUCAGGCUCUACCUCAGCAGUUGCUGUACUUUGGAAGGUGAUGGCAAAGAUGCUUGGAUUUUUGAUGUUGAUGACACUCUCUUGUCCACCAUACCUUACUACAAGAAACAUGGUUUUGGGUAAGCUUGUUUAUUUACUAGAUCAUGUAUUCUUUUGUUAUCACAUUUCCACUUGUUAUAGACAUCCUGAUGUUGUUGGAAAUUUAGAAAAAUCAGUGUUUUAUUCUCUAAGGGUAUGUGUGGUAGUGUUUGCUUUUCAAAUAACUUUUCGUGCCGAAAUGUAUGCCAAUGAUGUUUUUUCAUUUUUUAAAAAUUAUUUUUGACAUCAGCACAUCAAAACGAUUCAAAAUAUACAAACCGUAUUAAAUUUUAGCAAAAAUUUUUUUUUUUGAAUUUUAUGGGAACACGGUUUCAACUGCGUUUCUAAACACUUCUUAAGAUGGCUCGACCAAUUGAAACUCAAAUCUUCUCGAGCUUUGUUUUGGUGCGUUAUGGUGCAGUUGAGGAUGUUUUUAGAUUGACCACAACUUCAAAAGUUGUUUGGUUUUCAUUACUUGCUUAAACCUGUUUAUCAUUUUAAAUUGUGGUAAAAACUUGGGUUUGAGAGCUUGAUUUUUCAAACCGCAUCCACAAAAAAUAUCUUAAUCAAAUGAUAUUAUCAAAUAUACAACUGCUAGACUAUGCCUGCUUUUCACUGUUUUGAUCAAUCAGUCACUAAUGCAAUUUGGGUUGUGAAAUGGAAAUAAAACCAGGGGAGAGAAGCUCAAUGCAACCUUAUUCGAAUCAUGGAUGAAGCAAGGCAAAGCGCCUGCUCUAGACCAUACACUCAAGUUCUUCCAUGAGAUCAAAGGCAAAGGGGUCAAAAUCUUUCUUAUUUCCUCCAGAAGUGAAACCCUUAGAUCAGCCACUGUCGAGAAUCUUAUCAAUGCUGGAUACCAUGGAUGGUCCAGCCUCAUAUUGAGGUACAUGACUUGACCUAUUUGAUAUAUGUGUCAAUGGCCUAGCCUGUUCGGAAACGUGGGCGGUUGCAUCCGCGUUCCCAAACCAAAACCAUCACAGCCGCGCCCAUAUUCCGAAACGGGCACCAGAGUAAACAAGCAAUUUACCAUUUCUUUUCCUUGGUUUUACUGUAUAAAUACAGGGGUCUUGAAGACGACUUCAUGAAAGUGCAGCAAUACAAAUCCGAGGCAAGGAGAGCAUUGACAAAAGAAGGAUACCGCAUAUGGGGAAUCAUAGGAGAUCAGUGGAGCAGUGUGGAGGGACUCCCUGGUGCCAAAAGAACAUUCAAGUUGCCAAAUUCCAUGUACUACCUUUCCUAAAGCUUCCACUACCGACAUUAUUAUUCCAUAUGUUCAACCAGGCAUUGUCAUUGUUUAUCUGAUGAAAAAAACCAUGUUAAUCUAUGAUUUCUUUUUCUAAAAAAAAUCUCAGCUUCGAUCAGAUAUCUCAAAUAUCUCAGUAAAGGAAAUAUGCUUCAGAAUAAGGAAGCAGGUUUUGAUGCUUCGAACACUACAAUGGGCAGGUCUAGUUGUUGUCAUGUCUUACCUCCACUGAUAGAUAAAGCCAUCAAGAGUUAUUUUGAUUGCGAUGCAUGAGACUCUGUUUCGAGAAAAUCUUGAAGAACUUGGUUGGCAUUUCGUCCGAAUAGAGUGAAAGAAAAUGCUGUUUAAAAAAUAACCUGUGUUUAUAGCGUCGAGUGAUCGUAGCUGAUAUUUUCAGUUAUUUCUCCAGAAAGAUCAAUGAAUUUCUUGACUUUUAAACGAAAGAAUAUGAAUAAACUAAUUUUAGAAUCCAACUUAACGUCUAGGCUUUUACCCAAUGUAGUUCAGAAUUUUGAUUUUAUUUGCGUUUUAAAAAUAUUUUUGAAAAUCUUUAUUUAUUUAUUUUAUUUAAAAUUAAUAUUUUUAUAUUAUUUUGAUAUGUUGAUGUUAAAAAUUAAUUUUAAAAAAUAAAAAAAUAUUAUUUUAAUAUAUUUUUAAAUAAAAAAUACUUUAAAAAACAACAGCUGUUACAAUAAUCAAUAAAAUCUUAGUCAAACUUAAAAUAAAUUAAAUACUUAAAUUUUUAUAAAAACACUUUGCAACCGCAACAAUAAAAACAAACAAUAUCUUAAACAAGAUAUGAUCAACACUUAAAUCUAUAUGUUCCGACAAAGUUUGAAAUACCUUUUCAAACACUAAUUUUUUUCAUUUUAAUCUUUAAACUUUUAAAUUCUUUUUAUUUUGAUCCCUAAUUAUUUUAAUAUUAUAAUCUAAUCUUGAACUAAUUUUUUCAUAUACCUUUCAACAAUGAAUAGUUUCUCCUCAAUUAAAGCAAGUGCUUUUCAUGAAAGUAACUAAACAAAUGAAUUGUCUCCAUUACGUGUAGCUUGGUGGUAAAAGUAAAUAAUCCAGCAACACAAAACCUGAUAAUAAUAUUAAUGGCUUUUCAUGAAAGUAACUAAACAAAUGAAUUGUCUCUAAUAAUGACUAUUCAAUAAUACAAAAUUAAUUAUUAUUAAUUAUUUUACAUAAUUUCUUCAUAUUAAUUAUUCAUUUUUUUCUUCAAUUACAUACAAAAUUUAGAGACAUGAUUUUUAAUGUUUUUUUAAUUAAAACUUGCCUUUUAUACUAUGAUAUUUCUUUUAUUUAAAAAACAAUGAUUCUGAUAAAAUAAACAUAUUUUAAUGAAAACAAUAGAAAAAUGCAUUAAUAAGAAAUAAUAGUUUAGAUUAAUUUUUUAUUAAAGUUUUCAUGAAAAUUUAUUUGAAUUGCCUUUAUUUUUAAUUCAAAAAACAUGUUAUUAAUAGAAAAUACAUAGAAUAAAAAAUGAGUAGUUUGUUUAAUAAAAUAUUUUUUUCCAAGGAAAUUUAAAUUAUAGAUUUUAAUAUAAAUAUCUGUUUUAAUUAUAAAACAUAAAUUUCCAAAAUUAUUUAGUAGAGUCUUGGAAGUGUGGUAAUUUUUUUUUUUUUAAAUUAUUUGUUAUUUAAAAUUAAAUUAAAAUAAUAUUUUAUUUAUUUUUAAUUUUAGCGCAUAAAACAUUUUAAAAAUAAAAAAAAUUAAUUUAAAAUAAAAAUUUUCAAAAUCGCAAUUGUACAAAACAGGGCCGUAAUAUGCUAAUCACAAUCCCCACGUGCACCCCAUCAGAUAUUACACUACUCACCAAUAGCAAACCUGGUCCCACACACCCACACGAUACGCACUGUUACCCCACCAUCUCUCUGGAGUUUAUUCCACACGCGCUAUAUUUAAGGCUUGGAGGAAUUCACUGUUCCUUAUUAACAGAGCCAAAAAAGAGAGAGGGGCUAAAGAGAGCAAAGCGCACUCUCUGUCACCGUUCACUUCUUCGGGGUGACACGCCGGUGACCGAAUUUUCCAUAACACCUUUAGAGAAUUGUUUCUGUGCCUAAAGAAUUGAUUUCUAGCCAUUUAGGGCCUUCAAUACUGCGAGGUUAUGUGAAGUCGUAGGUGAGAAAUUUAUAUGUUCCCCCGUUUUGGUAAUUUUGUUUUGUUUUGAUGGAAUCUGAAGCUAAUUUUUUUGUUUUGAUUGUAAUAAUUACUUGAUUGAUUGAAUUUUUGGUGCUUUUCUUGAAUUGCGUCGUCGGUGAUCGGACUUGGUUUAGUUGGUCUUGAAUGAUAAUUGGUUUGCACCGUAGGGUGCAUGUCCUUUUUUUUUUUUUUCGCUUGGAUUUUUUUUUUUUGGUUUUUUGAGCUUAAUAUUUCUGAAUUCAUGAGUUCUCUGUGAAAUGGGGAGAAGAAAUUAGUUUAGUAGGGGGUCCCAGAUACAAUUGAAUUGAAGCUAAGGACAUGGACUUUGAAAGGUUGGAACUUGGAUGUUGAAUAAAUAAUUUAUCAAUGGAAUGAAGUUAGCUAGAGUUAACUGACCAAGGACAAGCAUAUGGUUUUUAGACGUCCCGGUGACGAGGGUGUCAGGAUCCAUGCGCAAUGCAUCGCUCAUGAUAGUUAAUGAUUGAGAGUAAUGAUAUGUAGCAUCUAGCUUGUUUAGGGUUUUGUGUUAGUGGUCAGGAAGAUUUUUUGAUGCAGUUGGUAUGCCUUGAGAUGCUGAGGAGAAUUUAUUUGAACACUGAAAAUAUGAAUUUCGUGGAACCAAUUGGUAUUGAAGAAAAAACACAUUCUGCAAACGGGUUCGCAAUAUUAUAAUUAUGGUUUGCUAAACAACUCUUCAUCUUAGUUAAUGUUCCUAUCUCCAUACCAAUUGGAAGGAGUACCCACUGGUCGGGGAUGGGGAUGGCGCACUGAUAGGCAGAGCCUUAGACUUAAAGAAUCCUUGUACUUGCUAUGAAUAUUUGUAAUGGCCAACAAGGGGAGAAUUUGCUUCUGAUGGUUUGUUAUAAUCAUACUCGCUCUACCCUUCAACAGUUUUGCAUGAACUAAAUGCUCUCACGCCUUGAACAAUUGAGCCUGUCAAUAAUUUCAACAUGACAACCUAUUGACUCUUUGUUGCAAUUACAAGAAUUUAGUAUUAUGCUAGACAAUGGCUGUCCUGCGUCUAUUAUCCAAUACGAAGUUUUUAUGAGAAUUGGGAAUGAGAAUUUGAAUCAUUAUUAUUAGUCCUCUUAUUGCAAGGCUUGCCUUUUCUUUUUGUUUGUUUCAAUUUUUGGAUAACUGUCUAGGGACUGUGGAAUUUGCUGAAAACCAACCUCACAUGUUCUUGCUGCCUGCUAUUAACAUUUAAGUCAUUAUGUUUCACUGUAGCUUUCAUGCUUUUGACUAUUUUCCUAGUAUGAGCAUUUCAACUCUGCUCUGGUAGAAACAUUUCAUGCCUGUAACUGAAUGUAGUGUUGAGUUUGGAGAUGGACUGAUGCCUUGAGGAGCUGGUCAUUACAAGUGGGAUAAAGGAUUUAGAAAUAGGGAGUUUUGGAAAUGAUAUGGGUGGCUAGAACUUUCUUCUGAGAAAAACCAAAAAAUUGCGGUGUUUAUAGGUGAACUUAUGAGGUUUAGAAAGGAUGGUGAUCAUUGCUAUGAGUAUCUCUAUAUUCCCUAUUGGUGACAUCGUGUAUUUAUGUAUUCAUUCCUGUUGACAGAUGUUUUAAUUGAUGACCUUUCCAGUGUCCCACUAUUGUGAACCAAUAAGAAGGGUGCUUUCAGAAGGUAUUCACUUGGUUGUCAAAAUGGGAAACUGCUGUGAAUUGAUUGAAUAACCGACACCCUAUUUUUGUGCUGAUUGAAGCAUAGCAAUGGAGGGACGCCCAGCUUUUAGCAUUCAGAGAGCAGGUGCAAAGCAGCUUGGUAACCUUGGGGUGUCUGGAACACUGUCUUCAUCUUUACCAGUGGUUCCAACACCUCUAGAAGAGACAUACUCCAAGUUACCAGGCUGUCAACAGGUUUCCAUGGAAAGGGAGCUUAUGACCAGGCCUCUUGUGCAUGCAAGUCAUUUGCCCUCUAACAAUGGAGUAGUUGGACACUUAUUUUCUUCUUCUGCGAGCUUCUCAACAGACCUUCAGUACUCUUCUGUCACACCCCGGGAGAAACAUUCAAGAAAUACUCCAUUUAUUUCCCAGUCAUCAGCAAAUGCAGGAGCUUUGCUGAUGUCACAAUCUUCUCCAUCAGCAUUACUUCAAUCAACAACAACUAGUCAUUAUGUAAAUGAAAACAGUGCUUCAUGGUGUCCAGAAUCACCGCCGGGUUUUCUUGACUUUCCCACUAACACUACUGUUCAAAAUAAUCAGAUAGAAAGCAAUAGUUGUGCUGGUGUCAUGGCAUCAGAAGAAUUUGGUAAACGAAAUGAUUGGCAGGAAUGGGCAGACCAGCUAAUUACUGAUGAUGAUGCUUUGACAACUAAUUGGAAUGAGCUUCUGGCUGACACCAGCAUUGUGGACAUGGAACCAAAGGUUGGUAUCUUCUCACAACACACAACAAAUAAGAUACCCUUGCAAAAGUAUGGUGAAAUAUUCCUUUAUGCUUUCUCCUGUUCUCAUCUCGUUGCUUCAGAUGGCAUACCAGGUCUCCAAACCAUCUUCAAACACUCCAGUUCAACACUCCCAAGGUCACCUGCAGCUUCCAUCCCUAUCUGCAGAAAUUCGCCCAGUUCUCACCCCCACUUCCUCAGCAAACAGUGCACCAACGAAGCCACGCAUGCGUUGGACACCAGAACUUCAUGAAGCUUUUGUGGAGGCUGUCAACAACCUUGGUGGUAGUGAAAGUGUGGAACUAUCUUUGCCUUAACUGAUUGCUAGCCAAAAAUUCCCAGGCUUCUUCUUCAAUUGAUUUCCUUUUUCUUACGUGCAGGAGCUACUCCAAAAGGCGUGCUGAAGCUGAUGAAAGUUGACAGCUUGACUAUUUAUCAUGUAAAAAGCCACUUGCAGGUAUGCACCUUUGUUUCUUUAAAAGCGAGGCUGGUUUUAUGCGUCAGCAUCAUUUCUUGUGUGGCAUGGUUUCGGAUUCUUAUUUUUGUUUUUAAUUGGAGAAUAUUCUUUGUUGAAUUUCAGAAAUACCGAACAGCCAGAUACAGACCAGAGUCAUCAGAGGGUAUGUAAUAACUAAUCAGUGACUCCAAGACUUUAACAUAUCCCUGAAUUUUGUGUUGCUCUUCCACCUUAGAAUUUUAACCUGAAUGAGAGGAUGAGAUUGCAUUUUAACUUGUUGAAUUGCUUAUCUUCACUCAUGAACUUGAGUCUUAAGCUGCACUGUGCAAACUUGUGACAAUGUAUUAAUUUAUGACACAUACCCCUGUUCAAUAUCUCCUUUUCAUUUGAAUCAACCUCAAUCUAGUCUUUCCACAAAAGCAUGAUUAUGAUCUGCAUGCUAUGUUGUUUAUUCAAUCCUUUCUGUGAUUUAAGUCAAUUGCCCUAUCUAUGAAAAAGACAUUUUUCUGCUAUUUUUUGCGGCUCAAGUAUACUUUUUUUCAAGGCUUCAGUUGAGUUGUCUUAAUGUAAGCUCUCUAAAUUAACUUCACCAAUUUUCUAUCUGCCUAUUUUAAUACCAUUUUCCGAUCACUCCUAACUGUCGUUGUACUAUGACCUAAAUUUCCUGUGACCAUCUUUUUUCUCCCUCAGUUUUUUUGUAGCUGCUCGAGAUUUCUUUGCUUUAUUUUACUGCAUGGAUCAAAACAUGUAUGAGGAAUUUCCUAUUUAUAUAUUUUUUAACGAGCUGUUCUAUUUUGCUUGCAGGAUCCUCUGAGAAAAGAUUGACAUCUAUUGAUGAAAUAUCAUCUCUUGACUUGAAAACGUAAGUCUACACCAUUUAUUAAUUUUGAUUCUCUUGUUACUGCAUCAUCAGCUGGUAUUUAUUCUUUGGCUUUGAGCAACUGUGAACUUGACAAAGGACAAGAAAGAGAAGAAAUUCUAUGGUUUCAAAAUUAGGCUAAUUGUAAAAGUCUACACACAUAAUUGAGAAAUAAGAGACUACCAGCUUUCAAGGUGGCAAGGUAUUGUGGCAAUGUGCUAUUCUUGCUUUACUUCUGUACUUUUGGAACGAGCAGAGUUUAGGAUAUUUCAGGAUAUGCAUCUACUAUUCCUGUUGCUUUUGGAUAAAAUAGUUUUUCUAGCUUCGCUUUGGUGUUCUACAACUGAUACAUGUAGAGACAUCACUUUAGCAGACAAGCAAAGAGAUAGGAGGGUGUCUUAUCCUCCAUUUUGUCCUCUUCCUUUAUUAAAAUUUAAUGAGAGAGAGAGAGAGAGAGAGACGAAUAGACGAAUAGCAUCUUACCUGUAAGUUUAUAGAAUUAAAUCUAGAGAGAAGAAAGCAUCAGGUUUGAAUUCAUACAUCAAAAAUCAUCAUUGUUUUCUGAAAUUAAUAAUGCCUUCUCAUUGAAAGAUUACAGGGCUAUACACAGAGUUCUUGUUAUCAUUACUUAAAUGAGGAUCUAGACUUGUAAAUAAGAACAGAACUAUUCAUGUAAUUACAAAAGAAUUUCAACAUCAUUCAAUCAUUUAGAGAACCUAAAAUUUAAAAUAGAAACCUUGACCUGCUGAUUUCCAGAAUUUCCAACAAGUCUGGAAAAAAAUAACUCUUGACUUGUUGACUUGAGUAGAAACAGAUGAAUGUGAUCUUUUUGUUAGGCUUCACUCUGCAAGACGCAUUCUUUGUCCCUCAGUAAUAGAAUUUGGCAGGAAUGCUAAAGUUGUGAAUUUUAUAUUACUAGCCUGCUUCCCAGUUUCUUCUUAAAGAUUUAUGCAUGUGGAAAGUAAGGAGAAUAACUUUCCGCAUGAUAACAAAACUUGCUUAUGGAUUAUGCUACAACUAUAAUUCUCUUGUUUUUCCCUUUGCUGCUUUACCUCCCUUUAAAGUAGGUUGAUUGAGGAGUGUGGUUCCCCUACCAUACAAGGAUUGGAUUUUAAACUAUAUCUGUUGAAUUUUUGUUUACAGUCUCAUUUUCUGUAAUCACUCUACUGAUAAUGACCACGGGUUGUCAUUUAUUGAUGAAAAGACCUAGCAACAAAAUUAACUUGGAAGGUAUUCAGUACGUUAGUUGACUUCCUGGGAGAUUCAGGUAGUUCCAGAAGAAACUUGGUUAGGUUAAAAACUUGUUUAAUGCCCUUUCAAUCUACAUAUGGCGUCUCAGAUUGAAAAUUGGCUGGCACCAUGGUAUGAUUAUAACCUAGAAAUGUCUCUUGAAUGAUUUAUAUUUUGGGAAAAGAGCUGCAUAUUUAAAUUAUUCAAUCUGUGUUCUAUUUCAUUUUGAAUUAUCCUGCUAAACUCUUUCUAUUUUAUGUUGGACAACAGAGGCAUUGAAAUCACUGAAGCUCUACGAUUACAGAUGGAAGUUCAGAAACGACUGCAUGAACAGCUUGAGGUAUACAUUUUCCAUGAAAAUGGAUCUAUGUUUGGAUUUGAUUAGUGGCUUUGACUCUGGAACCUCAAAAAAUUAGGUUCCGUGACCUGAUUUGGCAGCUUUUAACAAGGGUUCUUUUGCUUUAUGAUGAAAAUCGGUUGUCUUGAUUUUCUUCUAUAUUCUGUUUGAAAAACCAAAUCAUCUUCAUGAAGGCACUACUUGUAAAAAAAGGAGCAAGGAUCUGAAAAUGGAGGGAUUCAUUCCAUGUUGAUCGAGUGAGAGAGAUAUUCCACUAGAAGUUUCUGGUCAAGUGCAGGAUCUUUGCUGCAUGUUAACUUUGCUGCAUAGAAGUUGCAUUAUGCAUUUACGUCAUAGAAGUAAUAAAUGUCUGCAACUUUUCAAUUGCCUAGACCAUGAAAAUGUUUACAAUUAUCCAUACAUUCUCCUUGGUAUCAAGACUUCAAUGAUGCAAAGAAGCUCCAUGAAGUUCUCUUUUGUUGUUACCUGCAUUUAAGAUUUAUACAUAUGCAUUGUUUCCUUAAAGAAUUAAUUUGUUUAUAAAGCACUCACUUUUUCUAUAAUGCAGCAAAGUAUAUAAUACUGAGAGCUAAAAAAAUGAUUUUUCCUUGGUUAGAAAUGUUUUACGAUUUGGCUUUACGUUAUCGCUCACUUAUACAACCUACAGAUGCUAUGCUGUGAACUUGUCUAAUAUAGAAUGUACCCAUUGCAUAGUGGUUUAGGACCAUGGACUGCAUAAUGUGUGGCAUGGUAACUGGUUCGGUUUAUUGUAGUGCUGUAUGCAGUCUGCACAUCAGUAGAUAUGAUUGUUACUGUAUAAAUCAUGUCAUGCGCACAUGAAGACAUGAUUCAGGUUGUGUGUAUGAUUUACAGUUCAUCAUUUAUAAUUCUAUAAUCUUUCUGGCAGAUCCAACGAAAUUUACAGUUACGAAUAGAAGAACAGGGGAGGCACCUUCAAAUGAUGUUUGAGAAACAAUGCAAAUCAGGUAUUGACGUUGACAAGUUGAAGGCAGCUUCAUCUGCUUUGGAAAAUCCCUCUACUCUGUCCUCAGAUGCAAUCCAGGACUCCCCUGCCAAAAAUGAUUUGGAAACCGCCCAGGUAGACUGUGGCAAGACACCAACUGACACAAUUUAUGCCAACCCUGCACUAGAAGGAGGAUCACAGGAUCUGAAUAGAAAGCACAAGGUAUCGCCAACUGAAACUCCUGAAAAUUCUGAGCCAUACAAUACUGAUUCAAGUUUGCAGCCUGCAAAACGUCCAAGAACAGAUGCCUAGGCCAACAGCAUUGAAAUAACAGGUUGAUAGUGAUUCAUGGAGGAGUUUAAUCCUGAGUAGGACAGACUUAUAAAUAGAUCUUGAGAACUUUGAGGUUCUCCUGCUUCUGUUUAUGUGCCUCAUGCACACUCUAAUUAGUCCAUAAACAAGGUAGAUGGGAGAUUUUUUAUCGAAAUCUUUGUCCUCCUGUCUUGUACUCCUUUUUGUGAUGAGGCUAGAGGGUGUAUAAUUAUUGUGUAAACCAUUUUAUUAAUGGCAGAGAAUGGACUCCUCUUUCUGUGUUGAAUUGGUGUCUCCUAUUGUUUAGCUAUAAACGAUCUUCUAGCUCAAGCUUGGACAUGAGAAGUGUCGGUUUUGGCCAGCUUUCAGUACACACAACCCCUGCCACUGUUUAGAUAGAUUUGUGGAAUGUUGACAUUGCACCAAGGAAAGCUGUUCUGGUCUUGAUGAGUAACCAUGUGGAUUAAGCACAGGAGAUGACCUUUCACGCAAUUGAGUUGUGCCGUAUAGGUCAACCACUCAAUAUGCUGAAAACCCGUGGUUAUGCAAAUUCGAAUAGGUAACUAUCAGUUGACAGAAGAAUGCAGUGUUGCUUUAAAAAUAUUGGAUUACGAGGCAAAGCUUGAACCUUGUUGUCAGACAUAGCCAUAUAGGAGACCGAUCAAACAAACCAUUUUAAACAUGCAAUAUGAUAUCUUCAUCAUUUGGGUUUGAAGCAUUCUGUUGUAGGCAUAUGGGAAGAGUAGUGUCAGAAGAAUGGCCAAUCAAAAAGCUGAAGUUGCUUGAAAAGUGAUCCCUUUUUCGCCAAGUAACACUCCAUUUUUAUGAAGUAUUGAAAUGCACAAGCUUCUUGUGCAUGCGCUGACGAAAGCAGAACCUUAUCAGAGACUUAGUAUCAGAGCUGAUUGAAGCGCUUCUUGAUGGUGAUAUCAGCUGUAAGAAUGACAAAUUGGCCUUGAAUUUCUGAUGCACAGAGUUCCUUGCUGUCCUCAAGGAGGGCUGUGCCCAAGUGGGCUUCAUUGGAUCGAUGGAUUGUGACAAAUUUUACGAAAGUGGAAUGGAGGUAUCAUAGAUCAUUCGAUCUUUAGGGUAUUUGCAGGUUUUGUUAGAGAUUAGCAGUUUACAGUAAAUCAAAACAAGAGGAGGAAAAAACAAAGAAUUUAUUGGUAUAUCGAUGGCAGGCUGUAUUUUUAUGAUGUGAAUAUUCCUAAAUUUAUCUUGUUUUCUACAAUUUCUUUGUCGAGACCUUUCUUUGAAAGUUAGCAUCCAUAGGUGGGUGUAGACUGUGGAGUGUGACAGCAGGAAGGUGCAUGAUGUUUAAGCCUUCAAAAUCAGGGCGUAAGAAAUAAACUUGGUUGUAAAACCGAGCCUGGCCUAGGUCAUGAUUUUUUUUUUAAUUAAUUAGGGAGUUGAUCUCACAGAUCUGUGAGGAUCUGGUGAGAUUUAUUCAAUAAAUAUUUUUUUUAAUUUUUUUUAUCCAAAAUAAAUAAAUAAAUUUAAGUUAACCUGCCGAUCUAUAAAUUGAUCCAUUCACUUAUGACUCCGGCCAGGUGGGGUUGGUAAAACAAGACACUUCACUUGACCAAACAAAUGCAAUUAUUGUAAAAGAAAAUGAUCUCUCUAUAACUUAAUUAAAAAAAUAUUUUAGUUAACUCGAGUGAAUCAAUUAAAUCAAAUUAAUUUUUAUUUUUAUUUUUAAAAAUAUUAAAAUAAUAUAAUUUUAAUUUUUUUUAAAAUCAAAUUAAAUUUUAAAUGAAUUUUGCAGGUGAUAAGUUGAUUUAUCUAAAUCAAUUCUAACCUUAUUUAAUUUAAAAUUUAUUUUGAAUCAAUGUAGUAUUUGACAUUUAAGUAAUGAUUAUUUUUUACUUGAAAAUGCAUGAAAAUAAUAUAUUUUUUAAAAAAUUUAUUUUCAUAUCAACAAAUCAAAGCAAUAAAAAUUUAAUUUUAAACGUAAAAAAAUCAAAAUUUUGUAAAUCACAGUUUUUACUGGAAAAACAAAUAGAAACUACCACUACAUGCAUGUGCAUGUGCAUGCUUUUUUUUUUUUUUUUGAAAUUAAGUAGUUUGGUAUCUGAAACACCUUUGAGUCUAAGCGAGCUAAGACAGAACAAGCAAACUCUCUCUAUCCUUCUCCUACCCUCUACUUGACGUCUCUUAGACUCAAACCCACGACUUCUCAACUCACAGUUUGGUGCAUUACAUCUCUCGCAGCAUUACACACACUCAAAGCCACAGUUGAUAUCAGCUUCCAACCACCUCCUCUUUAAUACCCUCUCACCUCUCCUUCCUCUCCUCUCACCAUCCUUCUUUCACUUUCUCUUCAUCAGUUUUUUUCUUGCUGUUGUCCAUGGCUGGCCUUGUCACGGGCAGUUCACAGACCUUGCAUGCCAAAGAUGAGGUGCGUAUCAUCUUCUUAGUUUUACCUGUUAGUUCUUUGUCAUAAUCUUGUAAUGAGUAUUGUUUUAAUACUUGUAACGUACGUGCAUGGCAGCUGAGGCCUCCAACUCGCCAGUCUGCAACGUUGAAAAAAUGUAGAGUUUGUGGGGAUGAGAUUGGAGUUAAGGAAGAUGGAGAGGUGUUUGUUGCUUGUCAUGUGUGUGGCUUUCCUGUUUGUAGGCCUUGUUAUGAGUAUGAGAGGAGUGAAGGCAACCAGUCCUGUCCUCAGUGCAACACUCGAUAUAAGCGUCACAAAGGUUUGUCAAAGGUGCAUUUUCGUUUGUUAUAAGUAAACAUGUCAUGUCAAUCUAGUUCUUAACUAUGGUUAGUGUUGUGCAGGUUGUCCUAGAGUUCCUGGAGAUAAUGACGAUGAGGAUGCCAAUUUUGAUGAUUUUGAAGACGAAUUUCAGAUUAAGCAUCAUGAUCAUGACGAAUCCAAUCAGAAAAAUGUUUUUAGUCACACGGUAAAUCAAUUCAACAGAAACCAACCUCCUUAAUUUGUUGGCAUAAAUUAGAAUUUCUAGCUGAUUGAUGUCUGUUCAGUGAAUGGAGUUAUCAGUAAACCUGUCCACAAGAAUUAUUGUCCCCAUCUAAUGUUCAAAACCUGUUGAGUGAUUUGCUUCCUAAUCAUAAAUUAAUUAAACUAAUUUAGACUCUAAUUAUUGUUUAAUUUAUCGUUGAUAUCUUACUGAAUUCAAAGAAUAACCAUCUGUUAAUAGAGUAGGAAGAUCUUUAAGCUUGUGGGGUGAGUUUUGCAGGAAAUUGAGCACUACAAUGAACAGGAAAUGCACCCCAUUCGUCCGGCCUUUUCGUCAGCAGGAAGUGGUAUGCGAAUUUUGAUGAUAUGAUUUCACAUUAGGAUCUCUUUGGAAGAAGCUUUUUAUUUGUUCAUUCAUAUUCAUGUUCGUAUGGAUGAUCAGUUGCUGGUAAGGAUCUUGAAGGCGAGAAAGAGGGUUAUAGCAAUGCAGAAUGGCAAGAGAGGGUGGAGAAAUGGAAAGUUAGGCAAGAAAAGAGAGGUUUGGUGAGCAAAGAUGAUGGAGGAAAUGAUCAAGGAGAAGAAGAUGAGUACCUGUGAGUGUUUUUUGCAUCCUCAUCUUCUUCUUUGCAUUAAGAUGGUUCUGCUAUCGAUACUAACAACAUACUUUUACAGCAUGGCUGAAGCCAGGCAACCACUAUGGAGAAAAAUCCCAAUUCCCUCAAGCAGAAUCAACCCGUAUCGAAUUGUCAUUGUCCUUCGACUUAUCAUUCUUUGCUUCUUUUUCCGUUUUCGGAUCUUAACUCCAGCAUACGAUGCUUAUGCAUUGUGGCUUAUCUCUGUAAUAUGUGAGGUAUGGUUUGGCCUCUCCUGGAUCCUUGACCAGUUCCCAAAAUGGAACCCCAUUGAACGUGAAACUUAUCUUGAUCGCCUAUCCAUGAGGUUUGAGCGUGAGGGUGAGCCUAAUCGUCUGGGCCCAGUUGAUGUGUUUGUGAGUACUGUGGAUCCUCUCAAGGAACCACCAAUCAUAACUGCAAAUACAGUCCUUUCAAUCCUAUCCGUUGAUUAUCCUGUCGACAAGGUCAGUUGUUAUGUAUCAGAUGAUGGUGCAUCCAUGCUCCUUUUCGACUCCCUAGCAGAAACUGCUGAGUUUGCUAGAAGAUGGGUUCCAUUUUGCAAGAAGCAUAACAUUGAGCCAAGGGCUCCUGAGUUCUACUUCACUCAGAAGAUUGACUACUUGAAAGACAAAGUGCAUCCCAACUUUGUGAAGGAGCGCAGAGCUAUGAAAGUAAGCAGAACCAACUUCCAAAUAGUCUCCUUUGCAUAUUUCUAUAACUAGUGUUGCUUUUCACUCUUCCAACAGAUAUAAUCCUUUCCUUAACUCUACUGCAUGAAACAUUUAGUGGAAGUUCUAUGAUCAUUAGAUGUUGUUUUAAGGGAUUGAUCGUGUGGUAUUGUAGAGAGAAUAUGAAGAAUUCAAAGUAAGGAUCAACGCGUUGGUGUCAAAGGCCCAAAAGAAACCAGAAGAAGGAUGGGUGAUGCAGGAUGGUACCCCAUGGCCUGGAAACAUCACACGUGAUCAUCCUGGAAUGAUUCAGGUUUAACAACAUCAUCCGUAUAUGUCUCAUUAUUUUUAGCCUCAGAAUUGAUAUCAUAUUACAGUGCAACUGAAAGCUGCUUUGCUUUGCAGGUAUAUCUAGGAAGUGAGGGUGCGCUCGACGUGGAAGGCAAGGAGCUUCCGAGGCUUGUGUAUGUUUCCCGUGAGAAACGACCUGGAUAUAACCACCACAAGAAAGCAGGUGCCAUGAAUGCUCUGGUGAGUAAAACUUUACUAAAUCUCAAGUUUUCUGAUCCUAGAGAAUUCAAAUAACUAAUGGAAUUCAUCAUUGUAUGCCAUUUCUAGAUUCGAGUCUCAGCAGUGCUCACCAAUGCACCUUUUAUGUUGAAUUUGGAUUGUGACCAUUACAUCAAUAACAGCAAGGCUGUAAGAGAAGCCAUGUGCUUUUUGAUGGAUCCCCAACUUGGGAAGAAGCUCUGCUAUGUCCAGUUUCCGCAGAGGUUUGAUGGUAUUGAUCGCCAUGAUAGAUAUGCUAAUCGCAAUGUUGUGUUCUUUGAUGUAAGUUGUGCUGGAUUAAAAAACUCUUAUAUUCUCUGAUGUUAAGAAAAUAACAUAGCAGCAAUUUCUGAUUUUUCAAUCUAACGAAUUUGUGAGUGAUGCAUUCAUUUAAUUUUCUGUGACAGAUAAACAUGAAAGGUCUAGAUGGGGUUCAAGGGCCAGUAUAUGUUGGUACUGGAUGUGUCUUCAACAGGCAGUCCUUGUAUGGCUAUGAUCCUCCAGUGUCUGAGAAGAGACCCAAGAUGACAUGCGAUUGCUGGCCUUCAUGGUGUUGCUGUUGCUGUGGUGGUUCAAGGAAAAAGUCUAAGAAGAAAGGGCAAAGAAGUCUUCUUGGAGGACUAUACCCCAUGAAAAAGAAAAUGAUGGGGAAGAAGUACACAAGGAAAGCAUCUGCACCAGUCUUUGAUCUUGAAGAGAUUGAAGAAGGGCUUGAAGGCUACGAAGAGUUGGAGAAAUCAUCACUCAUGUCACAAAAAAGUUUCGAGAAACGGUUUGGGCAAUCACCGGUAUUUAUUGCCUCUACCCUCAUGGAAAAUGGUGGCCUGCCUGAAGGAACUAACUCUCAAUCACACAUUAAGGAAGCCAUUCAUGUUAUAAGUUGCGGGUAUGAAGAAAAAACCGAAUGGGGUAAAGAGGUGAGUACUGAGUAGCAUUUCGAAAGGCCCUUUGUUUUUAACGAAUCUUUCAAGACUUGCAACAUUGGCUUCAAUUUUCAUUUAUUGAAAAAUCGUAUAUUUAUGGAGUCUGAAGAACAUCAGCAUUUUGACAAAUUUCCUGUUGUUUUUGUUUAUAAAUGGCCAAAGUUACGUUCCUUUUACUUAUCUGCUCAAAAGCUGAAGCAUUAAUGUUUAAGCAAAGUCAAUGUUCAUAUCAUCAUCAUAACUGGGUGAGUUGAAAGAUUACUGAAUGAAGAAUUUUCUUAAUCGCAGGUUGGAUGGAUUUAUGGUUCUGUUACAGAAGAUAUCCUGACAGGCUUCAAGAUGCAUUGUAGAGGGUGGAGGUCUGUCUACUGUUCUCCCCAGAGACCAGCUUUUAAGGGAUCUGCUCCCAUUAAUCUAUCAGAUAGGUUGCACCAAGUUCUGCGAUGGGCACUAGGCUCUAUUGAGAUUUUCCUUAGUCAUCACUGUCCUCUAUGGUAUGGCUAUGGAGGAAAGUUGAAGUUGCUGGAGAGGCUUGCUUACAUCAACACCAUCGUUUACCCUUUCACCUCCAUUCCCUUACUUGCCUACUGUACUAUUCCAGCAGUCUGCCUUCUGACAGGAAAAUUUAUCAUCCCUACUGUAAGUGAUACUGAAUUGUAUUGCAGAGAUUAACACAUUGAAAACAAUGUCAUUCCUCCAUCCACAGCUAUUCUUUUUUGUCUCUUCCAAUAGUAUUAAUUUUAACCAAAUUUAUUUUUUUUCUUUGCAGCUGAACAACCUUGCUAGCAUAUGGUUCCUAGCCCUUUUCAUCUCAAUCAUAGCAACAUCUGUGUUAGAACUUCGAUGGAGUGGAGUCAGCAUCCAGGACUUGUGGCGUAAUGAGCAAUUUUGGGUUAUCGGCGGUGUCUCAGCUCAUCUUUUUGCUGUCUUCCAAGGCCUCCUCAAGGUCCUUGGAGGAGUAGACACUAACUUCACUGUUACAUCAAAAUCAGCAGACGAUGCCGAGUUUGGAGAGCUGUACCUCUUCAAAUGGACCACCCUCCUCAUCCCACCAACCACUCUAAUCAUCUUGAAUAUGGUUGGAGUUGUAGCAGGAGUAUCCGAUGCAAUAAACAACGGAUAUGGAUCAUGGGGUCCUUUAUUUGGGAAGCUAUUUUUCGCUUUCUGGGUCAUUGUCCAUCUCUAUCCCUUCCUCAAAGGUCUGAUGGGAAGGCAAAACAGGACUCCUACAAUUGUUGUCCUCUGGUCUAUACUUCUUGCAUCUAUUUUCUCAUUGAUUUGGGUUAGAAUUGAUCCCUUCUUGCCCAAGCAAACUGGCCCAAUUCUCAAACAAUGUGGGGUGGAGUGCUAGCUAGUCAAUGCCUUUUGAAUUUUGCGGUCAGCUCCUGUUCUGUUCUGUGUUUUGAGUCUUUCACAGGUUAUCCCACUUUUGCACAGUUGUUUUUCCUUUUUAAUGGGGGAGUGGAGUGGUCAUUGUAUGGAUUAUCAGUGAGAUUUUUCUGUUAGCAAGCAAGCAUAUGCACGCAAACUUUAAGAAUUUUAUUAAUUAAGAAUUACUAAAAAAUUAUGCUGUUCCAAACAUUCACUCUUGAGGGAGGAAUCCUUACAAUUACAAAUUUACAAUCCACAGACUAUAUAUAUAUAUUUUCCAGGUCAAGGCAAGGAAUCUAUCCCUCUGGAUCAAAGUCAACCAAACAUGGUAGAUUAUUUCAAAAUUGGAAGUGUCCAUCUUCUUUGACAAAAACAUUAGAUUAAAUUCACUGUAAAACUGUCUCAGAGACAGAUUUAUUUGAUGUUUUCGUCUCUGCGUCACCAACCAGACAUGUUUCUGUCUCUUUUGUAUUUGUCUCUAGACACUAACCAAAAGCAAUACAUGAUACGGAACAUGCAUCCGUACUCUGGUAACUAAUUACACAGAAGGAUUAUCAAAGAAAAUAUAAAACUCAGUACUAUAAUCUUUAUACUAAGACAGCCACAAGGAAGUAAAGCCCACCUCCUUGAAUUGUAAUUUGUGAAAGCCAUGGAAUUCUGUCAAACCAAAAGUAGCCUAUCCUACGAGGUCCAUCGUGUUCUAUUUUUGAAAACUUCUCAACUUGCUGAAAGUUAUCGAGUUCUUGCUGAUAGUUCCUGUGCCACAAAAUGCAUGGUGGGCCGUGCCUCUGGCUUGGUUUGUGUGCAUGCUAAGGCCACUGUAACUACGAAAACAACUUCCUCUGCUGCUUGGCCUGUGGGAGCUUCGAGCCGCGGGUCUAGCACAGCUUCGAGCCGCGGGUCUAGCACAUCCUUUAGAAACAACUCUGGAUCGCUUAACAAUGAUGGUUUUAUUGAUGAUAAUGAGGAUAAGAGGUCUCCCGGGUGCCUUCCCAUCAUGACUUCCAAAGCCACCACCCCAAAGCUAUACACAUCACAUUUGUCUGUUACCCGCAUUGUUUGUGCCAGUUCUGAAAACACCAGGCAAUCAAAAUGAACAUCAGAAACAUCCAGUAUGAAAGUUUUUAACAUGCAUCAUGCCAUAUUUCCCAUUUCCUUGUUGUACACAUGUUAUAGCUUUUAUAAUUUUAGAGCAAUACUCAAAUGACAAGAACAAAAAUCAAGAACAUAGGAUUGUUGUCUUACCUGGAGCCAUGUAGCCAUAAGACCCAGCAACUGCAGUCCAGCUGGAGGAAUCUGUAUUCAAGAGUCUUGCUGUGCCAAAAUCCGCAAGACGUGGCUCAAAAUCUGUCUCUAGAAAAAUGUUGUUCAAUGAUAUGUCACGGUGCACAAUGGGCGGAGAACAGUCAUGGUGCAAGUAGGCAAUUGCAUGAGCUACUCCUCGCACUGUAUUCACUCUCCUGCCCCAACCAAGCUCCACUUCCCCUUCUAUCCCAUACAACACUUUUCCCAGACUUCCUCUUUCAACAUGCUCGUAAACCAGGUACAAGCAGCCCCUCCUGGAGCAAAACCCAUAAAGCUUUAUGAUGUUCCGGUGCCUAACUUCUGUCAGCAUUUUAAUCUCAUUCUCGAAACUCUGGCGAUUGGUUGCUGGGAUGUCACUGGAGUCUGACAUGUUGAGUUUCUUGACUGCAACUACUUGACCUGUAGACAAUACUGCUUUGUAAACACUACCAAAUCCUCCUCUUCCAAUGCAGUACUUCUCGUUGAAGUCAUCAGUGGCCUUGACAAUAUCCCCAAAUGUGAAUUUGCUUUCUCUUUCCCAUAUCACUGACUUGAAACUCUCACCAUUGUUGACUAUUUUGGUCUCUUCAUCAAGCAGUUUGGUUUUUCGGAAACAUAGCAGAACAGCAAAGAUAGUUGCUAUUACUAAUAAGCCACAAAAAGGAACGAUAACACCAAUAAGAACCUUUUUGUUAUCCUUCGAGGACUUGCUACUGUCUGUUGUUGGGCAUUGUGAUAGUCCUUCUCCUUCACCGCACAAUCCUGAAUUUCCAACAAAAGAUCUUGGGGAUGCAUUUUUGAAAACGCUUCCAGAUGGUAAAGGACCUGUCAACUCAUUGUAUGAGAAAUCGAAAGAAGACAGGCUAAGCAUGGAAGACAGCGAAUCUGGGAUUCUUCCUGAGAGAUGGUUAUGUGAGACAUUGAAAAUCUCCAACUGCGAUAGCUUUGCAAAAUUUUGAGGUAUGGCUCCUGAGAGUGAGUUGCUGCUAAGAUCCAACAAGUACCGCAACGAGUUUAAGUUGCCCAGUUCAAAAGGUAUUUCACCAGCAAGGUUGUUGUGGCUCAAGUCCAAGCUUGAUAGCUUCUCAUAACUCCCAAGCUCUUUUGAUAUGUUUCCAGUCAGCUUGUUAUCAGAUAAGUCGAGAGAUUCAAGGCCUUCCAAGCUGGUUAGACUCUGAGGUACCUCCCCUGUCAACUGAUUGUUGCUCAAGUUGAGCAUGAAUAACCUGCUCAGAUUUCCCAGUUCAGCAGGAAUCCUCCCAGCCAGGUCAUUGGAGCCCAGACUUAGAACUCGCAGCUGGGGCAACUUCCCAAGCUCAGCAGGGAUUUCACCAGAAAUUCUGUUUCCGUCCAUCUGUAAAUUGGUGAGGUUUUUACAUUCUCCCCAAUCUGGUGAGAUUUCACCAAUAAAUUGAUUGUCACUGAGGGCAACAAAAACAAGAUUUGGAAGGACACCAAAUGCAUCAGUGAUGUUUCCAGUGAAUCGGUUCUUUUCAAGCCGAACUCGUGAUAGCUCCGAACAAUUCCUCAAGCAGGUUGGCAGUGACCCAGUAAAACUGUUGCUGUUGACAGUAAAUUGUUGAAGACUCCGACCUCUACACAAUUCAGGCGGCAAUUCUCCAGAGAAACUAUUGUUUGAAAAGCUAGCAUACGCCAGAGAAGGCAUGUACUUCCCAAAAUCACUUGGAAUGCUACCAGAGAGGUUAUUGCCAAACAGAUUGAUGGAAGUUAAAGAAGUAAUAUCUGAAAUGGUCAGUGGCAACUCCCCAUGGAGCUGGUUGGUGUUGAGAUCAAGAAUUUGCAGCAUCGUCAAAUUUCCAACUUCUGGUGGAAUUUUACCGUUGAUGUUAUUUGAGAAAAGAUUCAGGAUUUGAAGAUUUGUGAGAUUCCAUAAUGCUGGAGGAAGGGGGCCUGAAAGCUGGUUUCCUGAAAGGUCUAGACUUAAUAACUCCUUCAAGUUUCCUAUCUCCGGGGGAAUGGAACCAGAGAAUGUGUUAUUAUACAGAAAAAGGUAUUGAAGCAUUGUCAAUUUCCCAAUUUCUGGAGGAAUAUUUCCAGAAAACAAAUUGUUUUGAACCUGAAGCGAGAUCAAUUCAGUCCAGUUGGAUAUAAGGGUAGGUGAGAUCUCACCGGAGAGAGAGUUGUCAGAUAAACCCAUAUCUGCUAGUUUAGCUAGAUUGGACAAAGACAAAGGCAAUUCCCCACUUAGUUGAUUAUCAGCCAAGGCCAAGUAGGCGAGGUUAGUGCAAAGACCAAGCUCAGGAGGGAUCGUUGAGUUCAAGGCAUUCAUCCGGAGAUCAAGCUUUUCAAGAUGCUUAAGUUGGCCUAUAGAAGGUGGAAUAUUUCCUUGGAAAGAAUUGCCGAACAACUCAACAAUUUGAAGACCAGAUAUCGAACCAAUGCUUUCGGGAAUUUGACCCCUCAACAGGUUAUAUUGUAGACUAAUGUUUUUGAGAUUGGAAAGCUUCGAAAUGUUGGAUGACAACGGUCCUUGGAAUGAAUUGUUAUAGAGAUUCAAGGCCUCAAGCUUUCCCAGAUUGGUAUAGACCAAUUCUGGUAUUUGGCCUGUGAAUUUAUUGAGUGACAAAUCCAGAAACGUCAAGUUCCGGCAAUUGGUUAUAAAAUGGGGGAAUUCUGCAGUAAGUUCAUUGAGAAAAAAACUAAGAUAUUCCAAAGAAGGCAUGGAAAAGUUGGACCAGUCAGGGUUUUCCAGGUAGUUUGCUCCAAGGUCCAAGUGUCUUACCUUGGGAAGAUUGGCAAGUUGAAAGGGGAUGAUACCGUUGAGAUUGUUGUUGUAAAGACUAAGAUACUGAAGCUCUGUCAACUGAGAUAUCUCCACAGGUAUGCUGCCCUCGAAGAAGUUGACACUGAGGUCCAAGUGAGUGAGGUUGGAGAGGCUGCCAAUGGCUGAUGGUAUCGUUCCAUUGACGUUGUUAUUCUGGAUGUCAAACCUGGUGAGACCAGUAAAAGGGGUGAAGUUGAAAUGGGCGAGUGUUCCAGUUAUGUUUAGGCUGCGGAGUUUUAUUUGAGAGACUGUUCGAGAGGUGGAGCUGCAGGAAACAGCAGUCCACUUGCAGAGGUUGUUGAGGUUGGAACGAGACCAUGAACUAAGAGGAGGAGGUGAGAAAUACAAGGUGCUUUUCCAUUGGAGGAGAGCUUCAGCUUGUGUUCUUGCAGAUGAUUUGGCUUUCAAAGGAAACAAGGAAAGAAGGAGAGCAUGGAAGAGAGCAACAUAAAGCUUUUGAGAAGCUGCCAUGCUUGGGUUAUGCAAGCUGGACAUGAUCUGGGCAGUGAUCUUAUAGCAUUUAGAGUGAGGAAUUUCUUUCAGCUGCAACUAUUUCUUUGGAUACGUUGGCUAUGCCAUUUGGAGUCACAAUCAGAACGGAAAAAAGGUGAUGCGCAGAAAAAUCAUAGUUACAAGAGCACAAAAGUCUAAAUGCGCGUUUAGAAUUGCUUUGCAAGAGUAAUUUUAAAAGUGAAUUUUAUUUUAAAAUAUAUUAAAAUUAAUUUUUAAAAAAUUCUUGUAUUCACGUAACAAAAUCAUUAAAACAAAACUAAAAAAUAUUAAUUUAAUAUUUAAAAGUAUAUAUAUAUAUAUAUAAACAGAAGCUGCUAAGCUUGAAACACUUCCUCUCAAAACUCAUCCGAGUUAACUCAAAUUUUAGUUAAAAAAACUGUAUUUUUUAUCGACCCGUUUCGGGCAAUCUUUAAAUAAACAAAUUACCAAGUUUAUAUGCUGGGUCGGAUCUGAGAGAAAUUCUUCUAGAUUGAUGUCGAAAAAAAUAAAUUCUAGUCUAACUUCCCGAGCCUUCAAGGACAAUUCAUUCAAGAUUAUGAAUAUAUACUUUCAUGAAUGAUACUUUUGUUUUAUAGAUAUUUUUUAAAUUUAGAGAUUUAGAGCUCUUUUUUUGUUUUAAAAAUGUUUUUAAAAGAAAUUUAACUUAUUUUUUAAAUUAAUAUUUUUAAUAUUUUCAAUUAUUUUGAUAUAUUAAUAUUAAAAAUAAAUUUUAAAAAAUAAAAAAAAUAUUAUUUUAAUAUAUUUUAAAUUAAAAUAUUUUAGAAAAGAAUCACCCCGCAAUAAUAUCUAUUUCCACUCUCUCAAGACUGAAGAGUUGACUAUGAAAAGUCCAUAUUAUAUGCCUCCAUGGGCCGGUAGGUGUGUGUGAAUAUAGUAAAGUCUCGUUGGUUUUUUAUACGCAUUCGUUAAUUCCAUGACAUGAUGACCAAGACCUCUCUUUGACGAUGAUGGUCACCUUAAAUUAAUUUAUGAAUAAUUUUUUAUUAUAAAAUAUUGGUAAAACACUUCUAUUUAUGUAAAACAAUUGCAGAAAAUUAAAAAUCACAAAUUUCUAACAUGAACAAUUAAUAAUUUGGAUUAAAUAAAUCUUCAAAGAAAAAUAAAAGUAUAGUCUAAAAAUAAUGAACUAUUAUGUUUACCUAGUUGGAUGCUGAAUGAGAAUUUAGUACUUAUUUUUAAAUGAAUAUUCAAAUUAACAUUAAUUUUCUUCAAAAAAAGUCAAGGAUUAUAUGUCUUUUUGCUCAUGGAUCUAUUAUAUGGUACGGGAUGUUUGAAAAUAUUGUAACGAUUAUUUUUUAAAAUAACUUUUAUUUUAAAACACAUCAAAAUAAUAUUUUUUAUUUUUUAAAAUUUAUUUUUAACAUCAGUAUAUAAAAAAUAAUCUAAAAAUAAAAAAAAUAUUAAUUUAAAAUAAAAAAUAAAAAAAUAAUUUUUUUUAAAAAUAUUUAUGAAAUGCAAUUGCAAAAAAAGUACCCAGGUAUAAAGAAGAUUGGCUCCAGCUUGAUCUCAUUUGUCCUUUUCAGGGUGGAUCUAACUAAGGUUAAAUUCAGAGAACCAAGAGACUGUGAAGCCAUGAUUUAUUUGGAGUGUUCAUAUAUUAUUAUGGACACUCUCUCUUGUCUAUCUCCAGGCACAAAAAUUCAUGAUUUCCCACCUCUACUGAGGGGCCUGAUGCUUUUUUCCGGGUUUUCAAAUUGUGAUUUAAAUAAAAAUUUAUUAAAAUAAUAUUUUUAAUUUUAAAUAGAUGAGAUUAUUUUUAAAAUUAUUUUUAUUUAAAAACAUAUUAAAAUAAUAAUAUUUUUUUAUUUUUGAUAUUAAAAAACAUUAAAAAAUAUUUAAAAUUAAGCCAGUCAAACAAUGAAACGAAUUCUAAUGCUUUUUUUUCUUUAUAGUGCUUUCUUCGAUCUUUCUCGGCCUAUUGAAAGGGAGUUCGUGUUUACAUUACAUGAUUAAGCCAGUCAAACUGCCCAACAAAGUCAGAGUCAACUUUUGAACUUCCAAAAAAAAUCAAAAUCAAAAUUAAAUGAACUUGGAGAAACAAUUGACUGAGACUAAUAAGCUUUAGAAAGCAUGUAAAGACUUUAUGGUUCUAUCAAAACUAAAAAUUUAUAACACAAAUAAUUAUAUUAAGAAAUCCAAGAAUAUUUAUAACAUAAAUAAUAAUAUUUUUUAUAUUAAUACUUUGAAUUAUAAUAAAAAUAAUAAUAUUUAUUAUGCGAACCCAAACUUACAUACAAACUUAUCCUAACUCAAUCAGAGUUCAACGCAGCAUUAAUAACAAAACUAACUUUAUAAUAUAAUUGAAUUGUCUUAAUACAGGAGUUCAUAUAAUUUCAUAGUUUUGGAGCACUAACUAGACAAAAAGAAAGGUACAAAUUACAACCAAAAGAGCAGGUUCUGAAGGUCCAACAAAAGUGACCUGCUAUCAAGCUAUAAGCCUGAAAAGGUAAAUAAUGAGAGGGUGGGUUCAACAACUCAGUGAGUAGAUAACGUUCAAUACACACACACGAGAUAAUACAGCAAUGAGAAAUAUAUAUACAAGUAUGGCUCUAGGUUCUUAUAGAAAUGUUUCUCAAAUUGACCAUAACAAGAAUAUCAUAUGGUAAAACUCGUCAGAAAAUCAAAAUGCAAUGAGCAUGAGGCUCCGUACUGUGGGAUGAUCAGUCCACACAGGUUGGUGACUCCCCCGACCAACUAGGGUUCAGAUACGAUGUGCUCAAAGACUAACACUACCCUGUUAGCAUUGGUAUUCUGACUGACAUACCAUAGGUUCAUAAUCAUAAUCUGUUGCGAUGUCGCGGUCGUACAAAUUAAUUACCCUAGCUUCAAACACAACACACAAGAUAGUAUAGAGCAAGCAAGGGGUCGAUCCCACGAGGAAGAUUCAAGUCAGAUUUUUAUGCUAGAUGGUAUGCAAUUUGGGGGGGGGGGGUUUGGACGUUAUCUAGGCUAAAGCAAAAGAAAACAGAAAACUAUCAAACUAAAUUUAAUAAAAUCAGAAAAUUACCAAGAGAACAAACCUUGGUCACAAGCACACAUCCACCUACAGAAAUCAGAACUGAUAAUGGAAACGAAACAUCAAUUUAUAUUCUGAAUAUUUAUCUCUUCUUAACAUUGGUUAGUUAACGGAUCCGCCGUAUAACUAACCCUAACUAUCAAACAACCACAGUGUCCGCACUAGUAAUUUAAUUCAAUGGCAGCCUUAAGAACUAGAUAAGUUGAAUAAUCAAGAAAACAUAACUGUCCGCAGUCUAUGUUUGAUUUGAUUGAAUGUUCUCCCUAAGAUUAAUAACGUAGAUCCGCCACAAUUAUUAAACUCAGUUGCUUCACAAAUUCAUAUACCACAACUCCGGUUUUGAUAUCAAACUUAGCAAUAGAUUGUCUACAAUAAUAACUUAGAGUCCGCUCUAGCAAUUAAAAUAAACAAUCAUAGAAAAAAUAAGCAUUGAAGAACAAACAUAUUCAUCAUAUAAACUGAAAAGAAAAGGUAAAAUAAAUCUCACAGUUCUUGAAAUCCGAAGGUUUCCGUGUCCUUGCAACCAAGAAAAAGUGUUUAGUCUUGCAUGUUUGUUGAACAACUAAUCAAAAAGAAGGAAGAAUGCAUAAUUUCGUGUUUCUUAGAGGAGGGGGGCGUUUUUCUCCUCUUGGCUGGCCGCCCCCCUUCUCUUCUCUCAUUCUUUUUAUAUCUUAGGAAACCCUAGGUCUCUAUUUUACAAAAUAGUCCUCCAUUAAGUAGACUGUUUACAUUUAAGUACUUCAAUAACUAUUUUCCUAAAAAAUGAGAAAUAGCCUUGCAUGAAAUCUUCAAGCUUUGACUUAGAGGAGCUAAAUUGCUGAAAUAAAAACUUGGAUAUCGGUUUAGAUGAUUCGGAACGUAAUUUGGACUCGUUUUUUCACGAAACCUGUUUGCUGGCAGAAUUCAGAUGUCAUCUUUGAAAAAUCAUAUCUCCCUCAUAUGACAUCGGUUUUGGCUGAAAUUUGGAGAGUUUAUAGAAAUUUGAGUCAUGAAUCCAAAAAAAUUGAGUUUGCAUCAAUUGGACUUCUUUAGCUCCAGAUAUUCAAGUUGGAAUGGCCGAAGGUCAACACUGGCAGAUUGCGAGAUUUGACUUUGAAGGCUGCGAUUUCCAUGCUCUUCCUUAUUUUAUUUUCUUGCCUUAGAUGACCAGAAAGGUAUGGAUGUUAGCUUUUUAAUGCCACUGGAAUCACUUCAUUUUAACCUCUAGAGCUCACGCUCUCCACAAAACAUCGACUGAAGGUCAAAUCUGCCAAUUAUCUCCAAUUUACUCCUUUUUGCAUCUUUCAUCCAAAAGUGCCUUCAAAACAUAAAACAAAGAAUAUCAAGGAAUUAUAUAUAUAAAACAUAGGCAAAACACUAGUUAAAUGUGGGUGAAACUAUUGAAUAAUAUGGUUGCAUCAUAAUCAAACAGACAUAUUCAUAUCUCAAGGCUCAACUUAUGACAUCAAUCAAAUGAGGAGCUAUCAAUUCAGAAGUCAAUUCAGAAUAUAUAUAUACUGGUUCAUAUCAAUAAUUUGGAUUCAACAAUUGAUCAUGCUUAUCAUAACAAGGAUAAUAAUCAACAUAUAUAUUAUCAAGAAGCAUGAUCCAAUUCAUAUUAACAAAUCAAAUAUUUAUAAUAUUUCUCAUGCAUAUGGAAAAUUAUCCACUCACCUGACUCGAAAGCAACAAAACUCAAAGCUGAUAUCGAAGGAAAUCCUACUGACGUCCCGCCGGUAGAAUAUCAGGAUUAUCUGAAUACAAAUGAGACAUAUUCAAGAACGACUUGAAAGAACAUAUAACCUAUUUAAUACACUUAUCUAAGGGUGUAUUCCAUAACCCUAUAUGUUUUUAGACUAAACUAGUUAUUUUCUCAAAAACCCAAAAAUUAACGGUUUUCCCGAAAUUUAAUCCAUAAUAAAACAAAUAAUAAAACUUGAUAAUAAUUCACUAAAUAACCCUCAAUUAUUCAUCAAACCAAUCUGCAAAAGCUAAUAUUACAGCUAGGGACCAAUCUGUAAUUUAUCAUAUUUUUAGGGCCAAAUUGUAAUUUUCAUCUAAUUGGAGGACCAAACUAAACAUAUCAUAAAUUCAUGACUAUAGUGGAAUUAUGUCCAUAAUUCAUCCUCAUUUCUGUUCAGAACCUCUAAUUAUGCUCCAGGGACCAUUCUGGAAUUUUUCCUAAUUUUUAGGUUCAAAUUGUAAUUUUUGUCAAAUUGGAGGACCAAAUUGAAAGUGUUAAAUUUUCAUAUCUAUACAGUAAUUCUGCCCAUAAUUCAUAUGUUAUUCUGUUCAGAAUCUCGGAAUAUGCUCCAGGGACCAAUUUGUAAUUUUCCAAAGUUUGGGGACUAAACUGUAAUUUCCAUAAAUUGAGGGACCAAACCGAAAUUUUGUCAUCUUCAACCUCAAACCCAGAAUUCUCACAGAUUACCUACUGUUCUUGCCAAAUUUCUAACUCAACAUUCACCAUUUACACAAUUCAUAACUCAAAAUCAUCACAAUCUUCCAUAAUCAACUCAUUAAUCAAUUACCCAUAACAAUCAACCUUAUAACAUUCGAUUUAAUUCAUCAAUUAAACCCAAAACAUAAAUUUUCAAAACCCUAACAUUCAUCAAAACUGAAAUUAAGUUCAAUUAACAUACAUUUAUACAUUUAACAACCUAAAUCUUACCUUUAAACUUAUUCUCUUCAACUCCUUUCUAUUUCCCUUCUAAUUUCCCUCUUUUCUCUUCUUCUUCUUCUUUCUCCCUUCUCUCUCAUGGUUUGCUCUCUCAAAAUAUUCAGAUCUCUUCUUCUUCUUCUUUUCUUCUUUCUAUUUAUAUUUAUUAUGUUUAUCUAAUUACCACACUACCCCUCAUUCAUUUAUACUUACUCUUUAAGUUUUCAAGGGCUUUGUUGCCAUUUCCUAUCUCUUUAUAUUCAAAACAUUACACACGCAGAUCUACCCCCAAUGCCCCAAGGCUUGGCAGACCCCGCGCCAGGUAUUUGCUGCCUGGGGUCGUGGCCAGGCGCGCGUGGUGGCCCCAACGCUCUGGCUUGCCAGCCCUAGCGCGAGGUGUCGACAGCUUGAGCUAAUUAAUUAUAAUUAAUUAAUGCUUUUAAUUACAAUAAAGAUCACAAUAUUUAGAAUACAAAUAAUAAUAUUAAACUUGCGUGACCAAAGUUUAUACAAUAAUAAUUUUUUUUAAAAAAAUUAUUAACAAUAAUAAUAAUAAUGACAAUUGUUACUAUAUAUUUUUUUUUCAAUUUUCUUCUAUUCUUAAUAUCAAUACUUUUAAUUACAAUAAAGAUAAUAAUAUUUAGAAUACAAAUAAUAAUAUUUACCAUAUUAAUAAUAAUAUUAAUUUUGCACGGCCAAAGUUUCUACAGAAAGAAUUUUUUUAAAAAAAAAUCAUUAACAAUAAUAAUAAUGAUAAUUGUUAUUAUGUUUUUUUUUUUCUUCUUUACAAGGUCUGUCGAUACAGCAGCGUAGGCCUCUAUACCCAAGGGUAGUUAUAGCAGACCUCGAUGGCCGUGUGUGAACCUAACGUGUGGGUCUAUAAGCUAGACACUCGAGUUUGUAGACCCUGACUCACGGGUUUGCAGAUCCUAAAACCGCGGGGCUGUAGGCCCGCUCGCCCUGGGGCUGCGCCAAGACCUCUCUUUGACGAUGAUGGUCACCUUAAAUUAAUUUAUGAACUAUUUUUUUAAUUAUAAAAUAUUGGUAAAACACCUCUAUUUAUGUAAAUCAUUUGCAGAAAAAAAAACAUUUGUGAAUUGUUCAUGUUAAAAAUCACGAAGAAAAAUAAUGUUGAUUAAAUAAAUCUUAUGUAGUUGUGCAACCUCCCACUUAUUUUCAACAUUUAAAAAUCACAAAUGUUUAACAUGAACACUUAAUAAUUUGGAUUAAAUAAAUCUUCAAAGAAAAAUAAAAGUAUAGUAUAAAAAUAAUGAAUUAUUAUAUUUACCUAGUUGGAUGCUCAAUGAGAAUUUAGUACCUAGUUUUUUUAAAUGAAUAUUCAAAUUAACAUUAAUUUUUUUAGUACCUAUUUUUUUUAAUGAAAAUUUAGUACGUAAUUCACCUAUUUUAAAUUCAAAUUAAUAUUAAACAUUUUUUUUGGCUAAUAAAAUGACCAAUUAAUAAUAUAUUUUUAUAUAGUGUUUGGUUAUUGUUACAUAAUAGAAAAAUCAAAGAAGAUAAAGACAAAGAUAACAAAUUAUUUCCUUAUACUUUAUAUUUUGAAAAUAUAAAGAUAAAUUUAUUUUAUAUCUCUAUAAAGUAUCUCUUAAUUAAUAAUUCCAUCGAUCCACCAUCAAUCUAUCUGGUGUGAUAAUGUAUUAUUAAACAAUUGUAAUGGAUUUUGUUUAUGGUAGUGUUUGGAAUUGUAGUAAUAAUUAUUUUUUGAAGCACUUUUUAUUUUGAAUAUAACAAAAUAACUUUUUUUAUUUUUUUAUAUUAACACAUGAAAACAACCUAAGAUUAUUAAAAUAAUUUUUAAACACAAAAACAAUCACAACCUUCAUCUAUAUAAUAACCUAGGAUUAGAAGUUUCAACUCCUAAUUAAUUGGUUUUUAGCUGUCUUAUAGUGACAUUGAAAAGUUUUAGACUUUACAUAUGCCUAUGCAAGAUAAAAUAAACCUUGAUAUUCGAGUCCUAUUUUAACUCUUUUUUUUUUGUUUCAGAGUCCUAUUUUAACUCUAAAAAGUCGGUUUGGAAACUAAGAAAUUGUAUUUUUUUUUUAUUUUUUGAAUUUAAACUUUAAUAUCAACACUUGGAAGAAUCUAUUCCUCUAAAUUUAUUAGAAUCAUAUGAAGAUUGUAUAUUAAAAUAUUUAAAGCAAAAAUAAUUUAGUUUUGAUUUUGGAAAAUAUAAAAAAAAUAUUAUAUUUACCUUUCUUGCAGAUAUCAAAUAUCAAAACCUGAAGAUCCAUAAUUAAACUAUGUAUAAUCUAGGUAUAGAUGUAUAAAACUCAGUUACAAGACUUUGUCUAGAUUUACCUGCCAGUUUGAGGUAGGCCUGAGUAUUUUCGGUUCGGUCCGAUUUUGGACCAAAAUAAACAACUAAACCAAAAAAUUUUUAGUUUUUGAACCGAACCGAAUCGAACCGAAAACCGGUUCAAACCGAUUAAUUUCGGUUCGAUUCAGUUCAAUUCAGUUUUUUCCCCUUCCAAACCGGUUCAAACUGAAAUGAUGAUUCUCGAGCUAAUUUCAGAUUCAAUCCACUCCUUCUCCAGGAAAUGUUACAAGGUCUACCAGUUGCAAACAAAUAGAAAGUAAUUCCCAACAUCAUGCAUGCACCCAAAUCUCAUCCUAUUGAAAUCACCAAAGAUCAGAUCGAGUCCAUGAUUACUGGAUUCAACCAGAAGCAUUUCCAAAAGAAAUUACCAAACAUCGCCGCAGGGAAAGAAGUAAACAGAAGCAUGAUAUAAGAGAUAAACCUACUAAAACUAUCAAGCACCACAAAGCCACAACAUUUGAGCCAAGAACAUGCAGAUAUGAGAGAUGAGAGACAGAGAUAGAGAGCAUGGAAGAGAAGAAACAGAUUUGACUAAAAUCAUUUGAGAGAUGAGAGAUAGGGAAUAGGGAGAGGGGGCGGCUGAAAGAGCAUGGAGCUUAAGCAAAGGAGCAUGGAGCAGGAGCUUAACAACUAACAAGUAACAAUCAUGGAGCUGAGCAUGAAGAAAAAUCAAAGAGAAGAUGAGGGGGAGAUGCAGAGAGCAAAGGGAGGGAAGGAGAUGUAGAGAGCUAGAGAGCAAAAGGAGAGGGGGCGGCGGCGGCUGAAUGUAGGUUUGGGGUUAAAAAACUUUAUAUUUAUACUUGUUUUUUUUAAUGGUGGCCUGGUUGAACCGGUUCGGUUCAAUCGGUUUCAGACUUUAGAAACCGAAACUUUUUUGUGAUGUUUUUAAGCGGUUAAUUCGGUUUUUUUUCGGUUAUUUUUUUUUCCUGUUUUUUCGGUUUAAUCGGUUUAUCGGUUUUUUUGUUCACCCUAGUUUAAGGGCUAACCUGGACAGAGUGAGUGUUUAAGAUUGUGAUAAUUUUUAUUUUUUAUUAUAAUAUUUUUUUAAUGAUUUUCAAAGAUUUUAAUAUGUUGAUAUAAAAAAUAAUAAAAAAAUUAUUUUAAUAUAUUUUUUUUAAAAAAAUAAUUUUACUAAAUUAUCUACACUACAAUACUAAAAAUAUACUGAACUUUUAUUUUAUUUUUAAAAUAUUGUUUAGGGUUUUCAAAAAAGUGAAGGAUUAUCUUGGUCUUCCCACUAAUGGACCCACUCUAUAGUAUAAAGCUAAGAAGAUUGACUCCAAUUUGAGCUCAUUUGCCCUUUUCAGGGGGAAUCUAAGGUUAAAUUCAGAGAACCAAAGACUGUGAACUCAUAUGAUAUCUUUGAAAUGUUCAUAAAUUAUACAGUAAUUAAAAAGAUAAAAAAUAAUAAUAAUUUAAAACUAAAAAAUUAUUUAAAAUGCACGACUGUACCAUGCUUUUUCUUUAUAGUGCUUUCUUCUAUUUUUCUCAGCCCAUUGAAAGGGAGAUUGUGUUUACCUAAUUGGUAAAAAUUAUGAUAGUAGUUAUUUUUUAAAGUAUUUUUUAUUUAAAAAUAUUUUAAAAUAAUAUUUUUUAUUUUUUAAAAAUUAUUUUUAACAUCAGCACAUCAAAACGAUAUAAAAACAUAAAAAAAAUUAAAUUUAAACAAAAAACAAUAAUUUUUUUUUUAUAGAACAUGAUUUGCACCAAGUUUCUAAACAGUAUCUUUAUUAAGCCAGUCAAACUGCCCAACACGGUCAAAGUCAACUUUCGAACUUUCAAAAGAAAAAAAACAAUCAAAAUUCUUCAAUUCAUAUUUGAACUUGGAGAAACUUUUUACAUCAAAAUAUUAAAGUAAUUUAAAAAUAUUAAAAAAAUAUUAAUUUAAAGUAAAGAAAAAUAUAAAAAAAAUUUAAUUUUUUUUUAAAACACAAAAACAAAUAAAAUUUGCUAAAAAAUUAUGUAACAGCAGCACGACGUUCAUCUAUAUAAUAACCUAGGAUUAAAAGUUUCAACUCCUAAUUAAUUGGUUUUUAGCUGUCGUUUACUUACAUUGAAAAGUUUGAGACUUUACAUGUCUUAUAAUAUAGGGUUUUUAUUUAUAUUGGUUUUUUAAAGUGUUUUUUAUUUUAAAAUAUAUUAAAAUAAUAUUUUAUCGAAAUAAUUUAAAAAUAAAAAAAUAUUAAUUUAAUGUAAAGAAAAAAAUAAAAUAAUUUUUUUUUUUAAAUAAUUCUGAAAUGCAAUUGCGAAAAAGAGUACCCAGGUAUUGAUCUCAUUUGUCCAUUUCAGGGUGGAUCUAACUAAGGUUAAAUUCAGAGAACCAAGAGACUGUGAAGUCAUGAUUUCUUUGGAGUGUUCAUAUAUUAUUACGGACUCUCUCUCUUGUCUAUCUCCAGGCAACAAAAAUUCAUGAUUUCCCACCUCUACUGAGGGGCCUGAUGCUUUUUUCCGGGUUUUCAAAUUGUGAUUUAAAUAAAAAUUUAUCAAAAUAAUAUUUUUAAUUUUAAAACCGGAGAUUAUUUUUAAAAUUAUUUUUUAUUUUAAAAUAUAUUAAAAUAAUAUAUUUUUUUAUUUUUGAUAUUAAAAAAUAUUUAAAAAUAUUUAAAAUUAAAAAAUAUUAAAAAUAUUAAAAAAUAUUUAAAAUAAUAUAUUUAACUUUAAAAUAUAAUAUUUAUAAAGUUAUACACAUCGUAUUUGUCUGUGACCCGCAUUGUUUGUUUGUGCCAGUUCUGAAAACACCAGGCAAUCAAAAUGAACAUCUGAAACAUCGAGUAUGAAAGUUUUUAACAUGCAUCAUGCCAUGCAAGGUUGUUAAAAUCACGAUUUUAACUCGGCACGGAAAAUAUAAAACAAACUCGGAUCGUAAAAACGGAUCGUAAAAUCGUAAAAUCAUAAGGAAUUUUAAAAUACAUUAAAAAAAAUUCAUGCUUCAAAUAAAAAUUCAUAGCACUUUAAAAUACAUGGUUCAAAUAAAAAUUCAUACAUAAUUUAAAUAACUUUUUAUUAAUUAAUAAUUAACAAACUUUUUGUUAUAUAUUACAAUUCACAAAACUAUAAUACUUUCAAUCUGCUUCAGUACAUAUACUAUACAAUUAUUUUUUUUUGGAAAAUCAGGCAGAGACAAAUUCCAAUUUCAAUCAGGCAGAGACACAUUCUAAUUUCCACAUUUCACAGGCACAUUCAAUUAGGCAAACACAUUCCAUUAAAAUCAUUCCAUCAAUUCAUCAUACUAAACGAACUCAAUGCUUUUACAGUUUUACAAAACAUUAUCAGGAAUCCUAUCCGGGGCAAUACUGAUGGAUUUCGAUGAAAGGACCUUGAUCAGGAUACUAAGCAAAACAUCAGCUUUACACUAAAAUCAUUCCAUCAAUUCAAUUCAUCAUACUAAGCAAAACAUUAUAAAAUCAUUCCAUCAAUUCAAUUCAUCAACAUCUGUACAGGGGAAUAUUACACUAUUACAGUUUAACAUUUUGAAGGCCUACACAGGGGAAUAUUACAUCAUGGGCAAUCACAUGAAGGCUGAAGAUACAGGGGAGCAACUUACGGUGAAGAGGAAGCCGUUGAUGAUGAAGGCUGAAGAGGAGAACGAUAUCGCCUGCUACUGUUGAUAAAGAGGAAGCCGUGAGCUGUUGAUGAUGGGAAAUAAAGGAGAUCGUCGCCGCCUCGCCGCUGUUGAUGAAAAGGAAGCCGUGACCGUGAGCACUGGUGACUGGAGUGAAGACUGGACUGAUGACUGGAGUGAAGACCGGACCGAUGACUGGGUCACUGGAGUGAAGACUGGACUGAUCGUCGCCGCUUUUGUGGUAGCUGGUUGGUUAAUAGAGAAGGAGAUUAGGGAUUUGUAUUCAGUGAAAAGGAAGAAACACCCAAAAUGCGAUCUGGCAUGAUGACUGGAGUGAAGAUUUGGAGUGACUGUGCAUUUAGCCAGCCAAUAGACGCCGGACAGCUAGAGCAUGGGAGAAACAUUUACUUCAGUUUAUGCAUAUUGGUGAAAUCGUUCAAUCGGUCCUGAAAUCGCGAUUUUAUGCGAUUUCAUCCGAUUUUAACGAUUUCACCCGAUUUCACCCAUUUUCGAUUUUUCCAAACGAUUCAACACGCAAAGCAUGUUUUGACUCGUAAAAUCGUACGAUUUUACGAGUCAAAACGCGAUUUUAACAACCUUGAUGCCAUGUUUCCCAUUUCCUUGUUGCACACAUGUUAUAGCUUUUACUAGCUUUGAUACCUGCGCAAUACUGCGAGCGUUUUAAGUAAAAUUUGAUUCUAAUUAUUAUAAUAAACAAUGAUAAAAUAAUCAGAAAUAUUAUACAACAGCAAAAAAACAUGAUAUUUAUAAAAUUGGUGGUGAAUUGUAAAAGUUAAGUAAAGGCAAUUAAAUCCAAGUAGAAUAAAAGUGUCUAAGCUAAAUAUUUUAUGCUUAAUUUAUACAUAUAGAUAGAAAAGUGGACGUCAAUGAGCAACAGGUUGUAAUAAAAAAGCACGUGAUGAAGAUGUUCAAUCAGUUUGCGAUGUUGGAUAAGAAAGCAUUGAUUAACCAAAUGUUAAUUUUUUUCCUAAGCUAUAAAUUAUUGUUAAAUCAAUAAACAUCAAAUAUUCUUGAAGAUAAAUAAGAAAUGAGAAAUAAAGAUGUAAUUAUUGCUGAGUAUAUGAGUUCACAAAGAAGGGAAGGCAAUUAGAAAGCGAGAAUGAUAUAGUUAAUUGUUUGUUAAACAAAGAGAUGGUAGAGCAGUAUAGAGAGCUAACUAAAUAAUAUUGGAGAUGCAAACCUUUUCAGAUGAUAAAAUGGAGAGGUGUUGCUUCUUUGAAAGUGCUGGUGCAGGACCGACAUCAAUAUCUCCGCAAAGAUGUUCACUUGAUGAGCCUGCAUAAUCUUCCAAGGGUCCUGUAUGGUCAUCCAUCACGCCCAAAAAAGAACAACCUUUGCUCAUUAAGUAGUUUUGUUUUGACAACAAUAAGUUGGAAAUACAAACCCCCUUCUCGCUCUAAAGGAUAUAUAAUUGAAGAAAUAAGUUGAACAAAUGUGAUGAAGAUACAAUAAUAAAAGAUCAAGGAGAGCUAAAAAAGAACAUUAUGUGUUGUUAAACAUUGAAAUACCAUAUCCAUGAUUAAGCAUGCAAGGAAAUGGAAAGGCAUAAAGCCAAUAAGUUAUGCCGUAUAUAUGCAAGGAAAUGGAAAUCGAAAGGCAUGAUGAUCCUGACAAGCGCCAAGAAGAAGAAGUUAUGCUGUAUGCAAGGACAUAUUGGAAAUUAAGGCAAGAAAACAAAAACAAAAUCUGCAAAGAAUAAGGACAAUAAUUUUUGUAAUUUUUUAAUGAGAGUGUCUUAUGUUUUGUCAUCUUUAAAAAAAAUUAAAAAAAUAGGGUAAGAAUUUUUAUUUUUAUUUUAUAAAAUCCAAUUAUAAUUCGUAGAUUGACAUAUAUAAACACUGCUAAAAAAAGGGAAUUAUGACCUCCCUCUUUUAUAUGGUCUUCAGGCAUGCCAAAUCCGUUGUAAGCUCAUGUUUUUAAACGAAGAAUAAUUAACCUAACCUCAUCAUAAAAACCAAUGCUUAAUUAUAUCUAAUAAAACAACAUGUCUUAAUAAAUAUAUAACCCAAGUUUUAAUUGUGAUGCUGAGAAACAUAUACAAAUUAAUAUACAAUAUGAUGAACCAUAUGUGUCUUUUUUUCAUGACAAUUAAAUAAUCUCUCAUAAAUGGACCUUGAAUCCCUAAAUAUAAAGACAAUAGUAGACCGAAAAACCUAGAAAGGAUAGGAAAUUUUUUUUGUUUUUCUUCUCCAACACCAAGAAACAUCGCAGAGGUGAAAUUAGUAAACGAAAUAAAUCAAUGGUUAGAAACAACAAAAAUCAAGAAUUGGCCUAACAGAUCUUUCAAACUAAUUUUUGUAACUAUUUGUAUGGCCACCCAUUAUGCCAAAAAAAGAAGAAGCAACCUUUGCUCGUUAACUGGUCUCUGAUACUAAUUUUUAAACGAUUUGCAUGACCAUCCAUUACUGGUAAAUAAAAAAAAAACCUUUAUUCAUUAAGUUUUGUUUUGACAACAUAAACACUGUCUCUGUAUAUCAAAAAAGAAAAAAAAAAUAAGAGACAUAAAAAAUAAACAACAGAACUCGCAUGUUAAGAGUUUAUAAGGAAAAGUGCAGGAAUGCAGGAUUAAAACUUGUAAAAUACAACAUUGAAAAAUAAAUUUACAUGGAGAAGCAUGAAAUAGGAACAAAACAAAAAUAUCUUGCAGGAUCCUAUUUUCUUGAAAGAAACUGGGAUGACUUGAAAUGUCAACAGAGGUUAACCGAAUAAUCGGUGGGAAUCCCCCUCACUAAUGACUCAGCUCCAAAAAAAGCAUUCUCGUGGAAAUAGAGCAACGAAAACAAAAUUAAAAAAUACAGAGCAAUUAAAAUCUUGAAGACUAAAAUUAAGGGUUUAAAAAAUACAAAGCAACUCAAAUUUGUAUUGUUGGGGGUUGCCUUUGUUUGGCAGACAAUUUUUUUGUCCUAUUUUGAUUGCUACAGUUUAUUCAUUUUUUUAAAAUAGUGUUGGUAUAAUUUUAUUGCAUCUCAAUUGUUAAUAUAUCUCAGCAUCACAUGGUAUAUUCUAAUUUUUUUUUACACCACGAUGAAACUCUCAAAAGUCGAGCUCUUAUAUAUCUAGAUUACAGAAAUUGUAAAAUAGAGAAUUGAAAUCCGGUAUUGGUACUGGCUUAAUAAUUAAAGUGGAUAAUUUCUAUUGGCCACUUUAUUUUCCUUACAUCUAAUAAAUGGUCUAGAUCGAGUGCUAGGCAAAAGAAACGGCUAACAUUUUCUGGGCAAGAUAAAAUCCUUGCAAUAUUUGCAUGUCAUAACAGAUGCCUUAUGCACUAAACAAAUAGUUGGCCAGUGGCUUAUAUGUGCUAAAAUUGAAAGCCAUAUAUUAAGUAUUAUGGAAACAAAAUGCAACAAAGUGCCCUCUCAGCCCUUCCAUGCACAAUAAUUUGAGAUGCAGACAACAACAUGAAUACAGUAAUUUCUCACAACACAAUCUUAAAAGCAAAAAACAGAGGCAUGUUCUAACCUUGAAGUUUAAGUCCUCUCCUGAAAGAUGAUCUGAUAGAGGAAAUGAAGAGUAGUAGCAACCAAGAAAAACCGAUGAUAAAUAACAGGGAAAUGGAAAAAGACUAAUGCAUAAAAUCGACAACAAACCAACAGGCAAUUAUGGGUGAAAUAAAAAAGAAGAAACGAUGAAGAACCUAAGAACCAAUGCACGGUAAAAAAAAGUACUACCCUGAAAAAACAUGCAAAUGAAAAAUAAGAAAGCAUGACAAAUUGGCAUGCACUAAAAAAAAAACACAUCCCACUUGAACCCUCGACAACGCUACUUGUUGAUAAAAGCUAACCCAACCCAAAAAAUAAAAGUUGCACAAAAAACACCUUAUAAUAUCAUAAGAGAGCUGGGAGUCGAGAGAAUUGAAUUACUAAAAAACACUCCAGAAGAGCACCACCCAUGCAAUAAAGCAAUUACAGAAAAAAAAAAAAAAAAACAAAAAAAACAAAAAGGGCUUGCCAAUUAUACUAACCAAAAUAGAAGUGCUAACUAAAUCAUAACAAGAAAUAACAAAGAGGUAAGGGCAAGUAUGUAUGUAUAAUGAUGUCAAUGUCAUAUUCAUUUAAUACACAACUCCACAGCUAGCUAUGCAUAUAUUUUAUCCCCAUGCCUAAGCCAUUGGUGAACACAGCUUCCAAAACACGAAAAUCAGUUGUGUAAGCUCAUUGUCUCUUGGCAUGUUCCUUUAAUUAUUUUCAAGCUGAUGGCAAGUCAGAAAAUCUAGCAACCCCCUCAACUGUAGAGAAGAAGGGAAGACCCAAUUGCAGAGAAAGAGAAAAGACAAUGUAAAUUUUCAAAGCAUUUAAUGCACCAAUAUCAUGAUCUCGCUUCUGUAAGUCAAAUACUUUCCAAGCUAAAAAAAAAACCAGACAUCUAGCUACAGUGUAGUAAUAAUAUAAUAAUAACUAUAAAAAAAAUGUUUUGUGGGGAAAGCUACAGUGCUUUCCCCACGUGUUUUAGAGUUCUUUUAAUAAUCUUAGAGAGCCUCCUGUUAAAUAAUACAUUUAUCUUGUUUUAUUUAGUAAUGGUAGAAUAAUAUUUUUAGCUUAGCCUAUAUAUAAGAUCUUUGUAUUUAGGUUAAAUAAUAUACUUUUCAUAUAUCAACAAAAGGAGAAUUCUAGCCUCCCUCUCUUUCGUGUUCGUAUUUAUUUUGUGUUAAUUGAAUUGGUAUCAGAGCUGGUUUUAUAGAACGAGACUUAAUCUCAAACACAACUUUCACGUAUUUAUAAACAAAUUUUUUUUUAGUGAUAUUUUGUCUUCCGCUUCUACAAAAAUUGGUAUUUCAUGUUUCCUUCAGCUUCUGCAAUUUGAUAUUUGCGUUCAAUUUCUGCAAUUAUUUUGGUAUUUUGUCUUCCCUUCUAUUUGUGCAAUUUGGUAUUUGCGUUCAGCUUCUGCAAAUUUGUUUUGUGUUUUGGCAUAAUCGUAGAAAUUCAAGAAGAUAUUUGUUUAGUUUCUACAAUCUCUGUUCAGUUUCUGCAAUUUGGUAUUUUCUGCAAUCUCUGGCGUAAUCGUAUAAUAAUAUUUUCUGCAAUCAUAUAACCUUUUAUCUUAAUCGUAUAACGCAGACGCAUAGGUAGGGCAACCCAAGCGUUCAAUUUCUGCAAAUUUGUUUUGUUUUUUGGUUGCCUGCCCUUGCGCUGGGUUAGACCCGAGUGCUAUGUGGCGCUGGGGCUGGCUUGCCAAGAGCGCACACCCAUACCCGUGCGCCAUGUGGCGAGACCUAGCGCUUGGGCUACCCUGCCUAUACGCCUGCGUCAGGAUCCAAUGGUAAUUGGCCGUUGUCAGGACCCAAUUCGCUUCGGUCCUGCGCUAGGACCUAAUGGUAAUGGGUCCUGCGCUGGACCUAAUGGCGAUUGGUCUAGUGCAGGACCUAAUGGCAAUGGGUCUUCCGCAUGAUCCAAUAGUAAUGGAUCUUGCCUCAAGACCCAAUUCGCUUGGGUCCUCGCCAGGACCCAAAUAAUUUAUGUUAUAAAUAUUCUUCAGUUUUCUUAAUAUAAUAAUAUAUGUUAUAAAUAUUAUUAUUUUUCUUAUAAUUCAAAGUGUUCAUAUCAAAAAUACUAUUAUUUGUGUUAUAAAUAUUAUUAUUUGUAUUAUAAUUAAUAUUAUUAAUAAAAUAAUUAAUAAAGUUGAAAAAAAAAUAUUAUUAAUAUUAAAAAAAUAUUAUUUUUUAUAUUAUAAAUUUUUACAGUAUUUUUUAUAAAAAUAAAAGGAAUAAAAAUAAAGAGAUGGCGCGAAUACGGAACAUGCAUCCGUACUCUGGUACUAUAAUCUUUAUACUAAGACAGCCACAAGGAAGCAAAGCCCACCUCCUUGAAUUGUAAUUCGUGAAAGCCAUGGAAUUCUGUCAAACCAAAAUCAAAAGUAGCCUAUCCUACGAGGUCCAUCUUGUUCUAUUUUUGAAAACUUCUCAACUUGCUGAUAGUUAUCGAGUUCAGUGGCUCAGCCAGGUAAGCUUGAGUUCUUGCUGAUAAUUCUUGUGCCACAAAAUGCAUGGUGGGCCGUGCCUCUGGCUUGGUUUGUGUGCAUGCUAAGGCCACUGUAACUACGAAAACAACUUCCUCUGCUGCUUGGCCUGUGGGAGCUUCGAGCCGCGGGUCUAGCACAUCCUUUAGAAACAACUCUGGAUCGCUUGACAAUGGUGGUUUCAUUGAUGACAAUGAAGAUAAGAGGUCUCCCGGGUGCCUUCCCAUCAUGACUUCCAAAGCAACCACCCCAAAGCUAUACACAUCGCAUUUGUCUGUGACCCGCAUUGUUUGUGCCAGUUCUGAAAUCACCAGGCAAUCAAAAUGAACAUUUGAAACAUCCAGUAUGAAAGUUUUUAACAUCAUGCCAUGUUUCUCAUUUCCUUGUUGUACACAUGUUAUAGCUUUUAUAAUUUUAGAGCAGAUACUCAAAUGACAAGAACACAAAUCAAGAACAUAGGAUUGUUGUCUUACCUGGAGCCAUGUAGCCAUAAGACCCAGCAACUGCAGUCCAGUUGGAGGAAUCUGUAUUCAAGAGUCUUGCUGUGCCAAAAUCCGCAAGACGUGGCUCAAAAUCUGUCUCUAGCAAAAUGUUGUUCAGUGAUAUGUCACGGUGCAAGUAGGCAAUUGCAUGAGCAACUCCUCGCACUGUAUUCACUCUCCUGCCCCAACCAAGCUCCACUUCCCCUUCUAUCCCAUACAACACUUUUCCCAGACUUCCUCUUUCAACAUGCUCGUAAACCAGGUACAAGCAGCCCCUCCUGGAGCAAAACCCAUAAAGCUUUAUGAUGUUCCGGUGCCUACCUUCUGUCAGCAUUUGAAUCUCAUUCUCGAAACUCUGGCGAUUGGUUGCUGGGAUGUCACUGGAGUCUGACAUGUUGAGUUUCUUGACCGCAACUACUUGACCUGUAGACAAUACUGCUUUGUAAACACUACCAAAUCCUCCUCUUCCAAUGCAGUACUUCUCGUUGAAGUCAUCAGUGGCCUUGACAAUAUCCCCCAAAUGUGAAUUUGCUUUCUCUUUCCCAUAUCACUGACUUGGAACUCUCACCAUUGUUGACUAUUUUGGUCUCUUCAUCAAGCAGUUUGGUUUUUCGGAAACAUAGCAUAACAGCAAAGAUAGUUGCUAUUACUAAUAAGCCACAAACCGGAACGAUAACACCAAUAAGAACCUUUUUGUUAUCCUUCAAGGUCUUGCUACUGUCUGUUGUUGGACAUUGUGAUAGUCCUUCACCGCACAAUCCUGAAUUUCCAACAAAAGAUCUUGCGGAUGCAUUUUUGAAAAUGCUUCCAGUUGGUAUACGACCUGUCAACUCAUUGUAUGAGAAAUCAAAAGAAGACAGGCUAACCAUGGAAGACAGCGAAUCUGGGAUUCUUCCUGAGAGAUGGUUAUGUGAGACAUUGAGAGUCUCCAACCGCGAUAGCUUUCUAAAAUUUUGAGGUAUGGCUCCUGAGAGUGAGUUGCUGCUAAGAUCCAACAAGUACCGCAACGAGUUUAAGUUGCCCAGUUCAAAAGGUAUUUCACCAGCAAGGUUGUUGUGGCUCAAGUUCAAGCUUGAUAGCUUCUCAUAACUCCCAAGCUCUUUUGAUAUGUUUCCAGUCAGCUUGUUAUCAGAUAAGUCGAGAGAUUCAAGGCCUAGCAAGGUGCUUAGACUCUGAGGUACCUCCCCUGUCAAGUGAUUGUUGCUCAAAUUGAGGUUGAAUAACAUGCUCAGAUUUCCCAGUUCAGCAUGAAUCCUCCCAGUCAGGUCAUUGGAGCCCAGACUUAGAACUCGCAGCUGGGGCAACUUCCCAAGCUCAGCAGGGAUUUCCCCAGAAAUUCUGUUUCCGUCCAUCUGUAAAUUGGUGAGGUUUUUACAUUCUCCCCAAUCUGGUGAGAUUUCACCAAUAAAUUGAUUGUAACUGAGGGCAACAAAAACAAGUCUUUCCUGCAGCUCCACCUCUCGAACAGUCUCUCAAAUAAACCUUCGCAGCCUAAACAUAACUGGAACACUCGCCCAUUUCAACUUCACCCCUUUUACUGGUCUCACCAAGUUUGACAUCCAGAAUAUCAACGUCAAUAGAACGAUACAUCAGCCAUUGGCAGCCUCUCCAACCUCACUCACUUGGACCUCAGUGUCAACUUCUUCGAGGGCAGCAUACCUGUGGAGAUAUCUCAGUUGACAGAGCUUCGGUAUCUUAGUCUUUACAACAACAAUCUCAACGGUAUCAUCCCCUUUCAACUUGCCAAUCUUCCCAAGGCAAGACACUUGGACCUUGGAGCAAACUACCUGGAAAAUCAAUUUCCACUUCUGGUGGAAUUUUACCGUUGAUGUUAUUUGAGAAAAGAUUCAGGAUUUGAAGAUUUGUGAGAUUCCAUAAUGCUGGAGGAAGGGGGCCUGAAAGCUGGUUUCCUGAAAGGUCUAGACUUAAUAACUCCUUCAAGUUUCCUAUCUCCGGGGGAAUGGAACCAGAGAAUGUGUUAUUAUACAGAAAAAGGUAUUGAAGCAUUGUCAAUUUCCCAAUUUCUGGAGGAAUAUUUCCAGAAAACAAAUUGUUUUGAACCUGAAGCGAGAUCAAUUCAGUCCAGUUGGAUAUAAGGGUAGGUGAGAUCUCACCGGAGAGAGAGUUUUCAGAUAAACCCAUAUCUGCUAUUUUAGCUAGAUUGGACAAAGACAAAGGCAAUUCCCCACUUAGUUGAUUAUCAGCCAAGGUCAAGUAGGUGAGGUUAGUGCAAAGACCAAGCUCAGGAGGGAUCGUUGAGUUCAAGGCAUUCAUCCGGAGAUCAAGCUUUUCAAGAUGCUUAAGUUGGCCUAUAGAAGGUGGAAUAUUUCCUUGGAAAGAAUUGCCGAACAACUCAACAAUUUGAAGACCAGAUAUCGAACCAAUGCUUUCGGGAAUUUGACCACUCAACAGGUUAUUUUGUAGACUGAUGUUUUUGAGAUUGGAAAGCUUCGAAAUGUUGGAUGACAAUGGUCCUAGGAAUGAAUUAUUAUAGAGAUUCAAGGCCUCAAGCUUUCCCAGAUUGGUAUAGACCAAUUCUGGUAUUUGGCCUGUGAAUUUAUUGAGUGACAAAUCCAGAAACGUCAAGUUCCGGCAAUUGGUUAUAAAAUGGGGGAAUUCUGCAGUAAGUUCAUUGAGAAAAAAACUAAGAUAUUCCAAAGAAGGCAUGGAAAACUUGGACCAGUCAGGGUUUUCGAGGUAGUUUGCUCCUAGGUCCAAGUGUCUUACCUUGGGAAGAUUGGCAAGUUGAAAGGGGAUGAUACCGUUGAGAUUGUUGUUGUAAAGACUAAGAUACUGAAGCUCUGUCAACUGAGAUAUCUCCACAGGUAUGCUGCCCUCGAAGAGGUUGCACUGAGGUCCAGUGAGUGAGCUUGGAGAGCUGCCCAUGCUGAUGGUAUCGUUCCAGUGACGNNNNNNNNNNNNNNNNNNNNNNNNNNNNNNNNNNNNNNNNNNNNNNNNNNNNNNNNNNNNNNNNNNNNNNNNNNNNNNNNNNNNNNNNNNNNNNNNNNNNNNNNNNNNNNNNNNNNNNNNNNNNNNNNNNNNNNNNNNNNNNNNNNNNNNNNNNNNNNNNNNNNNNNNNNNNNNNNNNNNNNNNNNNNNNNNNNNNNNNNNNNNNNNNNNNNNNNNNNNNNNNNNNNNNNNNNNNNNNNNNNNNNNNNNNNNNNNNNNNNNNNNNNNNNNNNNNNNNNNNNNNNNNNNNNNNNNNNNNNNNNNNNNNNNNNNNNNNNNNNNNNNNNNNNNNNNNNNNNNNNNNNNNNNNNNNNNNNNNNNNNNNNNNNNNNNNNNNNNNNNNNNNNNNNNNNNNNNNNNNNNNNNNNNNNNNNNNNNNNNNNNNNNNNNNNNNNNNNNNAAUAUAGUUAAGUCUCGUUGAUUUUUUAUACGCAUUCGUUAAUUCCAUCACAUGAUGACCAAGACCUCUCUUUGAUAAUGAUGGUCACUUUAAAUUAAUUUAUGAACUAUUUUUUUUGAAUUUCAACUUUAAUAUCAACACUUGGAAGAAUCUAUUCCUCUAAAUUAAUUAGAAUCAUAUGAAGAUGGUAGAUUAAAAUAUUUAAAGAAAAAAUAAUUUAGUUUUGAUUUUGGAGGAUAUUCAUUAACCUUGAAUAUAAAAAAAUAUUAUAUUUUUCCUUACCUUUCUUGUAGAUAUUUAACAUCAAAACCUAAAGAUUCAUAAUUAAACUAUGUAUAAUCUAGGUAUAGAUGUAUAAAACUCAGUUAUAAAACUUUGUCUAUAUUUAUCUGUUAUUGGACUAACCUGAACCGAGUGAGUGUUUAGAAUUGUGAUAUUUUUUAUUUUUUAUUAUAAUAUUAUUUUUAAUAAUUUUUAAAGAUUUUAAUAAGUUGAUAUAAAAAAUAAUAAUAAAAAAUAUUUUAAUAUAUUUUUAAAUAAAAAAUAAUUUUACUAAAUUCUCUGCACUAUAAUACUAAAAAUAUACUGAACUUUUUUUUUUUUUUUAAAUAUUGUUUAGGGUUUUCAAAAAAGUGAAGGAUUAUCUUGGUCUUCCCACUAAUGGACCCACUCUAUAGUAUAAAGCUAAGAAGAUUGACUCUAAUUUGAGCUCAUAAUUAAGCCAGUCAAACUGCCCCACAAAGUCAGUCCACUUUUGAACUUUCAAAAAAAAUCAAAAUCAAAAUUAAAUGAACUUGGAGAAACUUGGUGAAUCAAUUGACCUUAGGGUUCUAUCAAAACUAAAAAUUUAUAGCACAAAUAACUAUAUUAAGAAAUUUAAGAAUAUUUAUAACACAAAUAAUAAUAUUUUUAUAUUAAUACUUUGAAUUAUAAUAAAAAUAAUAUAUUUAGAAACCCAAGAAUAUUUCUAACACAAAUAAUAAUAUUUUUUAUAUGAAUAUUAAAAAAAAACCAGUGCAGUUAAUUGAUUUCACUCACACUGUUCACGUGAACGUGAACGUGAACAAUAAUUUUUUUUUUGUUUUUUAAAAAAAUUAGUUUAAGGUGAAUUAAAUUUACUCGUACUGUAAUCUCAAUUUUAUUCCUGAUAAUAUUUUACCUAAUUUUAUAGUUCUUGUCGAAUGAAUUUUGUACGUAAUGGAAUUGUAGAUAGUUUAAUGGAACAAUAAAUUUUUUUAAUAUAAAGUAUGAUUUAUUUCAUGAUAUAAUAGCAAUAGUUAAAUCCACAAUAUUUAAAUUAAAAAUCAUCAAUAUUAAUAUAUAUAUUUUUUAAAUUAUUUUAUAACCUCAAUUUCAAAAGCAUUCUUAACCAAACACAUUAAACUACUUUUUCUUCAACCUCAAUUUCAACCACAAUUUUAACCAAACACCUAUUUUUUCAAACCACAACAACUAUCACAAUACCAAAUCAACACACUAAACUAUUUAAGUAAUAGCUAAAUAAACUUUCCUAUUUAAAAUCAAAUCAAGUCAAACAAAUUUUAAAACCUAACUAAGAAAUGAAUCUGAAAAUAACCAUAUAAAUAAAUAAAAUUAUUAAACAACAACUUUCAAACCUAAUUUUGGCUUGAUAUUGACUUUCAAUGGUGCUAACAGGAUAAAAUUAUAUUUUUUUCGUUAAAAAACUCAUUAGGCCUCUCCAUACUUUUUAAAAGUGUUUUUUAUUUUAAAAUAUAUUAAAAUAAUUUAUUUUUAUUUUUAAUACCAACAUAUUAAAACACCAAAAAAAUCAUCGAUUUCAUGAUUUUCCACAUUGUAUAUAUUUUUAAAAAAUACUAAAAAAUAAAAGCCACAACACUCUCAAAUAGUCCAAAAAGAUUCAUUUAAAGUUAACUCAAGUUUUGGUUUUAGAAGAAGAAAUUCAAAAUAAAAUUAGUUUAUAUUUCUUUUUAAUAAAAAAAACCAAGUUUUGGGCCAAACCUUAAAUUAAUACUGAAAAAUUAAUACUAAAAAAACACCAUGCUUUGUUAAAUAAAAUAUGAAAUCAUAUGUAAAAUAAAAUUUAAAGAUUCAAAGCUAAAAUCAUGAAAUUAAUACUAAAAAAACACCAAAUUAAUAUUUUGUUAAGUAAAAUAUACUUUUGAAAUGCUUCUAAAAAUAAAAGCCAUGGCACGUUUAAAACACUUGUGAAUGAAUGGCUUGAUUAAAGUAACAUAUGAAGAUCUUAAUUAAUAACUCUAUUGACUUAAACAAAAGUAAUUAUGAUCUUAAUUAAUAAUUCCAUCGACUAUCAAUUUCUUCUCCGUGGGUGGCCUGUAGCCAUGCCUUAUCUAAAAAAAGAAAAAAACACUCAUAAUAGAUUUUGUUUUAUUCUAUACUGGUUAGGUAGUCAGCGUUACGCUGUGGGCUCAUAUAUCAUUUUAUUAAAAAAAUAUUAUAAAAAUUUAAGACCUAAAAACAUUGGAUUCGACUGUAACAUCGGACUCAAGAGCAUUGAAUUUGGUUGCAACACAAAACCCAACAAUAAUAUUUAUAAUAUUAAUAAUAAUAUUUAACUUGUCUGUCAAUUUUUUUAUUUUUUUUAAUCUUUCAAAAAACAUUUAUUUUUAUUUUAACUUGUCUGUCAAAUUUUUUAUUUUUUUUAAUCUUUCAAAAAACAUUAUGGUAAUUUUAUACUUCAAAUUUAUUAAUUAUAAUAAUAAUAAUAUUAACAACACAAAUAAUACUAUUUUUAAUAUUAAUACUUUUAAUUAUAAUAAAAAUAAUAUUAUUUAUAACAAAAAUAAUAAUAUUUUUGAUAUUAAUACUUUUAAUUAUAAUAAUAAUAAUAAUAAUAAUAAUUAUUAUUAUUAUUAUUAUUAUUAUUAUAAAAAUAAUUAUAUUUAGAAACCUAAAAGCUUUGGAUUCUGACACAGCCCAAGGGAAUUAGAUCUUGACGCAUGACUUAUUAGCCUUGGAUCCUGAUGCAGGACCUAAGAGAUUGAGUCCUGAUGAAGGACCAAUAAUUUUGGGUCAGGCGGGGUUGCAGACCCAAUGGAUUUGGGUUUGCGCCCUAGCCACACCCAAGCUCCCUUAGGUGUGGUUCCUUUUUCCGGCUUCAAGUUUCUUGGGUCUGGAAGAGAAUGCAUGACCCAAGAGAAAAGAAAAAAAAUGAAAAAAAAAUUAUUGAUGUGUCCUUGGAGAGAUAGGACCCAAGCUGAUGGGUCAUGCUUCUGCUGGACCCAACUUAAUAUCAGACCCAAUCUUAAUAUAUUUUAAAAAAAUUAAAAAAUACAAAACAUCAAAAAUAUUAAUUUGAAAUAAAAAAAACAAUAAAAAAUUUCAAUUUUUUUUCAAAGAAUUUUUUAAACACAAAACCAAACAUACUUUAAUAAGAAAAUUCAACCUCAUCUGAAAUGAAAAACAAUUAUCAUCACCCAAUUUUGUAUAAUAUGAAAACAAAAGUCACAUUAAUUUAUUUUCUCUUUAUAGUAUGAAAAAAAUUCAAUAAAAGAAAAGAAAAAAAGUUUCAAGAGGUAAAAAAAUAAAAUUAGAAAUAUUUUAAAAUAUUUUUUUUAAAAUAUAUUGAGAUAAUAUUUUUAAUUUUUUUAAAUCUAUUUUAUAUAUAAUCACAUCAAAAUAUUAUAAAAACAUCUUAAUAUGAAUUAAAUGGAAAAAAUUAAUUUGAAGUAAAGAAAAAAAUAAAAAAUUAUCAAUUCUUUUUCAAAGCAUUUUUUAAAACCAAAACCAAACAUGCUUUAAUAAGGAAAUUUAACCCCACCUAAAAUGAUAACAAUAAAUAAUAAUUUUUUUUUCAAUUUACUAAUGAUAACAAUAAAUAAAGAUAAAAAUAAAAUAAUUCUUAAGUUUACCUUUCAAAUCAAAUCUAUUAUUUCUUUUCUAUAUUAAUAAUAUUUUUUCUGAUUUAUUAAUUAUUAUGUUAGUAAUAUUAAUUAUACUCAAAAUAAUAAUAUUGAUAAUACAAAUAAUAGUAUUUUGAAUAUUAAUAAUAUUAAUUAUAAUAAAAAUAAUAUUAUUUAUAAGAAUAAUAAUAAAAAUAAUUUUAAUAUUAAUACUUUUAAUUAUAAUAACCAAGUGUAAAGUGAUAAAUAUGUUAAAUAUAAGGAAUUUGUUUUUCAAAAAAAAGUGUGAAGAAAAAAAAAGAAAACUAAACAAAUAUCACAAAAAAAUAAAGAUAAGAAAAACAAAUUGUGAUAAAUAGGUAAAUUAUAAAAUGAUAAAAAUUUCAAGUAUAAAGAGAUAAAUAUUAAGAAAUUUUUUUUCAAAAAAUAUAAUAAUGAAAAUUAAAAAUUUACCACUACUACGGUAAGAAAUUUGAAGAAAAUUUCAAUUGUACCAUUUCUACAAUAAUUUGUUUUUACAAAAAAAAGUGUAAAGAAAAAAAUAAGGAAAAACUAAAAAACAUAUUACAAAAGAAUAAAUAUAAAAAAUAGUGAUAAAUAGAUAAAGUGUAAAAUAAUAAAAAUAUCAAGUAUAAAAAGAGAAAAAGAAUAAAAAAACAAAUUGUUUUUUUUUUUUAAUAAAAACCUCAAAAAUUACAAUUUUGCUACUGCUAUCUAUCGUAAAAUUUACAAUUAUGCAAUUUCUACGUGAAAACAUCAUUUCCUAUAAUAAUAACCUAGAAUUUGAAUUUUCAACUCCUAAUUAAUUGCUUUUUUGCUAGCUUAAAAAUAUAAUAAUAAAAAUAUUAUUUUUAUAUAUCUAGUAAUUAAUAACCUUAAAAGAUUUGAUAAUUUACUUGUGUAUGCCAAGAUAAAAUAAACAAGUCCUACAUUAACAGUAAAAAAUCAGUUUGGUAACUAAGAAAGUGUAUUUUUUUUUUAUUUUUAGGAUUUAAACUUUAAUAUCAACACUUGGAAGAACCCAUUCCUCUAAACUUAUCAGACUAAUAUGAAAAUUAUUUAUUAAAUAUUUUUUUAAAAGAGAAUCUAGUUUUUUUUUUUUGCAUAUAAAUUAGUUUGAGGAUAUUCAUUAACCUCAAAUAAAAAAAAUAUAUUUUAUCUUAUAUUUCCUUACAGAUAUGAAAAAUUAAAAUUGAAAGCUUAACUAUGUAUAAUCCAGGAAUAGUCAGGGUUAACCAGUAAAUGAUUUUUUUUAAACCAUGUGUCAAGGGCUUAAAAAAAAAGCAUAUUGAAUCUCAUCAAUCCUUUUUUUAUGAGGAAUCCAAGGUAAAUUCAGAGAACAAGGAGACUGUGAACUCUUGGUAUCCUUGGAGUCUUCAUCAAUUCUGUAGUAUUUAUUAUGUACAACUCUCUCUCUCUCUCUCCUUUUAUUUUUCUCCAGGCAAAUAUAUUAUUAUUAUUAUUAUUAUUAUUAUUAUCAACAAUAAAUUAAAAGAGUUAAAAAUUAAAUUUAAUAAUUUAUUUUAAUUUAUUUUCUAUAGAAUUAUCACAGUUUCAUAACCUUGAUCACGAGUUUGACAGAUCAACCCAAACUAACUCAAGUCAUUUUUUAUGUUUAUUUUCUAUAAAUAUAUUUCAAUCUCAUGACUUAAGUUAAACCAGAUCGAUUUUUUAAUUGAUUUUUCUCAAUUUCAUUCUUUAACACUAGGUUGAUUGAGAAUUGAACUUUAUAAUUUACUUUAAUCUUCUUUAUAUGGAGUAUCAUAAUCUCAUGAUCUGGUUGUGAAUCUAAUAGGUUAACCCAGAUUUUCCCCAAUCUAUCCAAUAUAUUUUUAUUUUAAUAUUUUAUUUUAAAAAAAUAUUGUCUUGAAUUUUUGAGAGUCGAAUUAUAUUUUUUUUAUGGCUGUUUAUGUUGUUUUUUUACUCAUCAAAUUGAUUAGAUUACGUCAAUUACUAGAAAAACAUUA
Molecule: long non-coding RNA, 59756 nt
Filed under: Populus trichocarpa (black cottonwood)
Lineage: Eukaryota; Viridiplantae; Streptophyta; Magnoliopsida; Malpighiales; Salicaceae
Description: long non-coding RNA (PTRI_LNC000788)
Source: RNAcentral